GAAGAAGCUCUCUAAUAUUCCAGCAUGUUUAAGGCUGUCCCUCUUGCUCAAUUGAUCAGCACCAAAGGCCAGGGAGCAUGAUCUUAUGCCACCAGCUCCGAUAGACAUAAGGCCUAAGCAAAAAUAUAGAAACAAAAGCUGUGGUGUCGUCGCGUCGUUAUUGCAUAUGCUACUAAAUUGGGCGCAAGAAGGCACCGUUGCCCCAGGAAUUAUUGUUGUCAACCACAAUAGAACCAUUCCCUGCACAUUUAUUUGAUUCCAGUUAAUAUUUUGACAUGAUCAAGAGUUUUGAGAAAGUUUUUUUUCCUUCUUCUAAACUUCAACGUCGUAUUAAUUAGAGAAGAGCAAACAACUUUAGUGUGUGUGUGAGAUGAAGAUUUGUCAAUUUGGACAACACAUGAUAACAGGUCUUGUUGAAGAUUUUUAUAAAAGGAUUUAAGAAUAAAAUAGAUAUAAUUAAACAUGUUGAUAUAUAUAUAUAUAUGUAUAUGUGUGCGUGCGUGCGUGUGUAAGGAUGGAUAACUAUGGAUAACAAUAUAUUUUUCCAAUUAAGCUUUAUCCACGAUAGCUUGUUACUUGUUUAUUAAUUCUUGUGAGAUUGGCUUCCGAAACAAGCUAUGGGUCCAUCCAUAUGCAGAUAUCUCGUUACUUAUAAAAUAUUCAGAAAUGUAAUAAUAAAAUAUAUUGUUGUUUUCAUCAGCUAUAUUAAAAGGAAUUUAUCAUCCAGUAAUAAAAUAUUACUGGUGGAGGAGGAUUCAAUAGGCGGCAGUGUUUGGAACGUUGGAAUGAGGUUUCCAUCGUGUUUAAAAUUUUUAUUUUUAAAUUUUUUAUAUAUAUUUUAAAAUUAAGUGAAAAUGAAACUUAUCAAUUACCCGGGCUCUCUCACGUGGUGUUAAAAAACCCCUUUCAAAAAAAAAUAUAUAUCUGAAGUUAUUAAUAAUAUGUAUUAACUCUUACAUAUUUUAAUUGAAAAUCCUUUAAAUUUAAAAUUUAUAGAGGUUAAUACUAUAACAUGUUUUAAAUUUUAAAUUUAAUUAAAAAAUUUAACACGUUUAGUAUAUUAAAAAUUAUUUCAAUUUAAAAACUCAUUUAAGAUUAGCAAUGGACUUAAUUAAUUGGAAUCACCACUUUUGUUUGUGAGAGAAUCGCCACUGAGCCAUAGAUCCGUUGGCCGGACACAUAUAUGGUUGUCUUUGUGACAAACAGAAGGGAGAAAAAUAGAGAGACGAGAGAUGAUGCAAAGUUGGAAAGAAAUAAUGUUACCAGAAGGCUCGCAAUACAUCCAAAGCCGAUCAUCGGGUAUCGACCCACAUAUGUAUCAGCAAGAAAAGCCCCAAUAAUUGGCAUGAAAUUCCCAGCAGCUGAGUAGAGGAAGAGUAUUUGGGCACCGCUAGCUGCAUCCAUACCAUACUCUCUAGUCAAAUACAGUAUCAUAUUUGUUGAUAGCCCGAAACUUGCUAGCCUCUCCAGUGCCUCAUUUGCUGUCAAAACAUCAAUUUAAACCACAUUACUUGAACAGUAAUAUAUAUAAGCUGCCAUGUAACCUGCUGCUCAUAAUAUAUGCGUCUGCGUGCAUGUUGCUGAAUGUGUAUUAAAUACCUAUGAUGAAAAACAAGGCUCUUAUGCCACCCUUCGGGCUGCUCAAGAGUGGCUCUGUGAUCAUCUCCUUCGGAUCUGAUUGUGCACUCUGUCGAUGGAGGGAAAGAGUCUUGCAGCUUCUUCAGUCCACUAAUUUGUUGUGAGAGAUCAUUUGGUGCACGAUGAAUACAUAUAUACACCCAGAGAUUUGUUGCCUUAAGUAAGCUCCUUUGUUUUCCCGCUGCUGGUUUUGGCUUCAUUAGCUGUUCCUCUAGGAUUCAUUAGCUGUCCUUCGAUUGAUUCUAUCCAUAAAAAAAGAAAUAUAGAUUGAACGUUGAUGUCACUGGAUAAUAAUUCUUUAGUAAACGUAAGAUUUUCUCAAGUUGCAAUUUUUUAUUUCACUGUAACCUGUUUCCCGGAAGAACAGCGUAAAUUCGAGCACACAAAUAUUCUAUUCAUCUUUUAAGCUAAGUAUCCAAGCACAGACAAGCUGAAUUUUGUAGAAACAGAAUUCUUCCUUGCAGGUUUUACUUAGCUCUUGCCCAAUUGGAUUUAGGACCAUGUUUUUGGAUUAAAUUAUGUAUCCUUGUUAAUCCAAUCAACUUCAUGUAUGAUCUUCCAACAAGGAUAUUGCACAUGUCAGGUGGUUUUUUGGUACACUGCCACUACACCGUCUCUGACACAGUUUCACAAAAAAACUGAAAGGGAAAACCACCCCGCUUAUUGUACUUCAACUUGCACAUAUAAUAAAUUGAAAGGGAAAACAUUCAUUGUAUUGUUCAUAGAUUGCUAUUCAUACGCAUUCAUUGUACUCUUUGCUUAUUAUUAUUAUUAUUAUUUGAUUUGAUAAAAUAAAAUUGUAUAGAAGUUGAUAGCAAUGAGCUCAAUGCUAUGCAUCAACUUUGUUCUGCAAAAUCAAUCAAUAUCAAGCUAGGACUCUAAUAUUUUUUUUCAGUUUCUAGGUUUGAAAUAGUAAAAAUAAUGAUACUUUAAAAUAACGUUUGAAAAUUAUAGGUUUGAUACAAUGAAACUCGUUUUUCCUCUGUGAACAAAUGUGAUGGUGGUUCUCAGCAAUGAGCUCACUGUUUCUUUGUAGGGGACCAUUAAUUUGAACAUUAAUUUUUUCUUAAACCCUGUAAUUCCACAACCUUUAGCCUACUCGGUCAGUUAACUUUCUGUUAGUGAGUUGUCAUCCUUUUGUAUUACUUUUUCAUUGGUUUGUUUUAUUUAUUUUUUUAAACAAAUGGUAGUACUGUUUAAUUUCUUUUUUUAUAUAAAACUAGGACCAGAUUCAACCCCUCCUAUUCUAUUAUAACGUGUUUGAUGUGGGACCCAUAUUUGCCAUGUAUUAUGGAUAAUUGUUAGUGAUAUCGCAAGUGAUCGCGUGGUGUAAUUGUUUGGUUUAGAGUUAUUAAGAAACUUAAGUGUACUGGUAUUAUCAAAUAUUUUAAGGGCAAGAGACUGGUUGUAACUAGAAAAGGUAUUAGCACCCCUAGUACACCCUACAUGAGGUAGCACCCUUAAUAUACCUUACUCGAGCUAAGCUGCAUUGCAUGGCCUAUGUCAUAACCUAUUUUUGGGUUCUUCCCAAUUACAUUUUCUUUUCUUCUUCUUCAAAAAAAAAAAUAACAACAGAACACCGAAAUAGUGUCGUUUUGAACAACAAUGUUCUCCUUCUUCCCUGCGCAUACAGAGACAGGGAAUAAGAAAAUUGUAAAUCGUUUUUCCCACUCUCCCCCCACCCCCGACUUGACCACUCACCCGACACAACCCAUACCCCUACAUACCCUGCCACCAUGCCAAAGAAAAGACAGAGGCGUCAUGCCCUACAAACAGGUGGCCACCUUACCUUGCAGAGGUAAGGUAGCACCGCUCCCCCCUGCACCACGAAGGGAUAGAGCAGGGGGCUCCCUCUUCUCCUACUUAUAAAUAGAAGGGGAGGAGAACGAACCGAAGGGAAGGGGAAAAAUUUAAGGAAUGAGAAACAGAGGGUUUUGAGAAGAUAGAAAGAUUUGAAGAAAAAAAAAUAGGAAACAGAGAGGAGAUUUUAAAGAGAAGAAAGUUGAAAAAAAUAGGGGGAUUGUUUUGAAAACAGAAACUGAACGAAGGAGAAAUAUAGAAAACGCUAAGAAAGGAAGAAGAAUCAUUGUUUUCAGCUGUGGUCCGUUAGAGAGAGAAAGAACAAGACAUAGGGAAGCUGAGGGUGGACGAAGGGGAGAAAAGAAAGGAAACAAAAAAUGAAAGAAAGAAGAAAAAAUGAAAGAAAGAAGAAACACAGAGGAGAGAAGAAGGAUCGCCGCCUGGAACCACCGCCACCAGCGAGCACCACCGUGAGCCACCGCAGGUCAACUCCUUCUCCUUCUUGGUUCUGCUCGGCCCCGACCCCAUCUCCACUAUUCUGCUAAUGAACAAUGGAGAGUGAAUUAUAAUUCACUCUCCAAUGUUCACGUAGCAUCUGAACAGUGAAGAGCCAGUGUUCACUGUCUGGCCUUGUCCGAAAUUUUUUUAAAAAAAAUCAUUUCAAAAAUUUGUAAUUUUCCCGCGUAUUUUUCUACUGAAUUUUGCUUAAUAUUGGUUUGUAGUUUUAUACCGUAAAGAUACAAAUCCGGUAUUAAAAUACCUGUCUUUCUCUGAAAUGAUGCAAAAAGAAAAUUAUAUAUAAAAAAAUGUCUUGCUUUCUUGCAUACGACCAAGUCUCUAAAAAAAAUCAUAUCGUAUUUCCAUACAAAGAAAAUUUCAAAAAAAAAUAUGUUUUAGCGUGCAUUUUCGCUUUAAUAACCAGUUUAUUAAAGUCAUGAGAACUAGGUCAAUAUUUCAAAAACUCCAAAAUUAUCAUUUUGUUUUCUUUUAAUAGUAAGGAUUUCGCACUUAUACGUAAGGCGUACUCUCGAUAUUAAAAGGAUAGUUUUUUUAUUGACAUUAGAAUAGUUAGGUUUAACCCAAUAAGAUAAGGAUCUCCUUAUCGAGGGGAACUUUUCUUAAACCAUAGAUAGACGAACAAUUAGACCUUAACGUUUAUCAGACAAUCAAACAAUGCAGCUUACCUUAGUAGGGCGUAUUUGGGGUGUUAAUACCUUCCCUUUACACAAUCAGUCCCCGUGCCCGAUCUCCGAGACCAGUUAGGGUUCCUAGCGACCAAAAUACUAGGUGGCAACUCCCAUUCCAUUUUUCCAUUGAUAAAAGACAAGAAUCCCUUGUCUCCUCUUAUUUGUCAGAUAGAUACCAUACCUGAGAGUGGAAGAUUCGCCACGAUGUCCGCCCACAUGCGACAGUCUGAAUAUGAUUUAAAGGCUUUGAUGAGUUCUUAACCGGCAGUUUGUUUAUGUCUUCGGAUGAAGAUUUAUUCGUGUGAAUAAAUCUGGCGUUUUGAAUUUAUUAUGGGCUCGUGUGUCCAAACAAAUUCUUAUGGAAAAGGUUUAUGUAGGUGCGCUGACAGGGUUCACCUAUCUUCGAAGGUAGAAGAAUUUUUCACAACUCGUGUGUUGUGGUGAAAAUACUUCCAAUUAAAAUGUAAUGGACCUAGUAAUCUCAUUCAAAUGAGACACCUCUUUAAAGUAAAGACAGGCAAUCCAGGCAGCAUCUAUAAUUUUUUUUUUGUUUUUUUUUUGUUUUAAACAUUAAAAAACACGUAAGAAAAUACAAACACACACACAUUUGUUUUAUUAUAUUUUACUCACAAAAACUACAAUUAUAUUUUUUACAUAUCACUAAAAUUCAAAACAAUUCAGACACACACACAAUAGACAUUUAUAAUUUACAAAAUAGACCUUCUAAAAUUCACAAAUUAAUCCGGAGAAAUUGCUAGAAUUUCAGGAACAGUGCUGGGAAGCUUCCAAGUUACAGGAACAGUGGCGAUGUGUGGGUCUCACACACCACCACCACUUACGGCGAGUGGAACAACGUGUCGUCACCGGUGAAGACAAGAAAUAGGUGGAUCAAAGACUGCUUCUUCUCUGUUUUCUUUUUAUGUUGGCAGUGAAUUUUUUGUUGUUACCUGCAAACAAAAGAAAUCUCAAACAUGCACAAUCAGUUUUUGGAUUAAAUUAUGUAUCCUUGUUAAUCCAAUCAACUUCAUGUAUGAUCUUCCAACAAGGAUAUUGCACAUGUCAGGUGGUUUUUUCGUUUCUAAGAGAACUGCUUUCUUCUUUUAUUUAACACACUGCCACACCGUCUCGCCUGCACCACAAAAAAACUGAAAGGGAAAACCACCCGCUUAUUGUACUUCAACUUGCAUAUAUAAUAAAUUGAAAGGGAAAACAUUCAUUGUAUUGUUCAUAAAUUGCUAUUCAUACUCAUUCAUUGUACUCUUUGCUUAUUAUUAUUAUUAUUUGCUUUGCUUUUGUUUUUGUUGUUUGCGAACGAUUUGAUAAAAUAAAAUUGUAUAGAAGUUGAUAGCAAUUAGCUCAAUGCUAUGCAUCAACUUUGUUCUGCAAAAUCAAUCAAUAUCAAGCUAGGACUCUAAUAUUUUUUUUCAGUUUCUAGGUUUGAAAUAGUAAAAAUAAUGAUACUUUAAAAUAACGAGAAAGAAAAUUAUUGGUUUGAUACAAUGAAACUCGUUUCUCCUCUGUGAACAAAUGUGAUCAUUAGCUGUUUCUCUGUAGGGGACCAUUAAUUUGAACAUUAUUUUUUUCUUAAACCCUAUAAUUCCAAAACCUUUUGCCUACUCGGUCAGUUACCUUUCUUUUAGUGAGUUGUCAUCCUUUUUCCAUUACUUUUCCAUUGGUUUGAUUUAUUGUUUUUUUUUUAAAAUGGGAGUACUGUUUAGUUUCUUUUUUAUAUAUAAAACUAGGACCAGAUUCAACCCCUAGAAUAGUGUAACGUGAUUGAUGUGGGACCCAUAUGUGCCAUGUAUUUUGGGACCAAGUUAUGAUUCAAUCCCUCCAAUUCUAGUAUAACGUGCACGCAUGGCAUACGUGGGACCUAUAUAUGCCAUGCAUUUGGGAUAAUUGUUUUUUAUGUUGUACGCGUAUGUGCCAUGUAUUUUGGAUAAUUGCUUUUGAUGUCGCACGUGUACGUGUGGUGUUGGGUGGUUAAGGGAAUCGUCAUCCAGCUGUUUAGUUCAGAAUUGUUAAGAAACUCAGGUGAUAUUUAAAUACCAGCCUACUUGCAAGUUCAACAUUUAUACCAAAAUAUUGACUAUUAAUUCUCAUGAAUUAAAUUUUUUAUAAUUAUUGGAAUAUUGGUCAAAUUCUCAUGGAUUAAAUAAAUUGAUUAUUGAAUCCAAAAUGCAUGCUAAAAAAAUAAAACAUACCAUGUAUUUUAUUUUUUAAACAAGAUAUGAUUUUUAUAUUUUUGAGAGACUUGGCCGUAUGCAAUUACGACAUUUUUUUUUUGUCUUUUUGGUUUUAAGCAUUCAAAAACAUGUAAGAAACUACAAACACACACAUAUACAUUCUUUUUACUAGAUUUUACUCACAACACUACAAUUACACUUUUUACAUAUCACCAAAAUUCAAAACAAUUCAAACACACACACUUACAAUUUAAUUUGAAAUUUAGGUUAAAUAAAAAUUUUCAUUGUAGAGUUUGAGCAAAAAUCACGAUUCUUGCUUCAUCAUACAAGAGUUAUGACCAUAUGUCACCCCUCGAAGGGCGAGUUCAUCAUAUAGAUUACAUGCUCAUACAUUUGUCAUGCAUGCACAGGGAUGAAAGUAGGUUCCCUCACCCGAGGUCUAUUAUACUAGAUUGAGAAAAGUGGGAAAAUAAAGAAUGGGGUUCGAUAAGGCUCUUUGUCAAAAGGAAAUUGAGAGCAUCAAAUGUGAAGUAGCUAAAUUUGAUCUGCUUGAACAAGUGCUGAACUUCAAGAGUGGAAAGGGAAUGUCUGCACAGCCUCUUGUGGAAGAACUGUCAGUCCAUGUCCCACACAAGGAAAACAUCAUUGACUCUUUUUCUCAGCACUCCACCAGCAGUGGCCAAAACAUUGAAGUGGCAAUGCCUCUCAUUUCAGUCAGGAACAACAACAACGCCUUCAGUCAUCAAUGAAAGAUAAUCUCCUUUCUGGUUCAACUGCAUUAUUAGUUGUUCACCACCUUCAUGUCUUGCAAUAGCACCUAAUAGCUGCUAGCUUUUUGUGUCUGACAUUCUUUGAAGUCACCGAACUCCAUUUCUGUCCUGCAGGAUGUUAAUUUGAAAAACUUGAGUCUACCUUGAACUUCAAUGUAGCAAAGCUUUCUCUACAGAGAUUUGUUUGUGCAUCUGCCAGUGGAGAAUUCAAGAAGGAAUGCAGUGGUUUUAGAUCAUCUAUAAUUUUCUCCUACCAGUGUCAGCAUGAAAACAUAGAAGUAGAGAGAAGAGACAUGCCUAAACUGAAAAACAUGAAGAAGACCGAAACUUCAACAGAGCAGAACUCCCUCUAUGGGUGCUAGUUUGCUACACCGUUCAGGAGGAAUCAAAGAGGAAAUAGAGGAGAUUCAUGGUCAUCAUUUUCUCCCCUAGUAGAGACAAUGUGUGAUUCCACGCAUCGACAGUGGCAGUGCUGCGCGCUACCAUGAUAUCUAACAACCUUGAAAGGUUUCCACUAAUCUUCAAACAACCACAACAAGCAUAGAAGAUUGGCAUGAGAUUGUGAGGAUUGCUAAAAGAGUUGAACAAGCUAUAAUGAUGGGAAAGAUUGAAGGUUCUGUCAUGGAUUCCAGAACAAUGAUAAGAGAUGAAUCGGAAGAUAACUCUGAAGGUGGAAAACCUUAUUUAUGUGGUCUAGCCAUGUCGUUAAUAUGGUUAUGGAAUUUUGACAUUUUGCAUUUUGUUUUGGAAUCACAUCUCAUCCUUUAAUGGAACAUGUCUUUUCGUUGUCUUCCUGUUGUUUUGAAAUCAAGAGAUGCAUCUUUCAAAGGGUAUUUUGACAAAAUAUUUUGAUGAGUGGAAAGAAGAAAAAGAAAAAAAAAUAAGGUUUUUAGAUGAGUGGAUAUUAAGCAAGUUAGGAAGAUAAGAAGACAAGUUUUCUUUACAAAGCUUACUAUGCAAAACAUUGAGGAGUUUUGCUUCGUAAGCAUUGUAAAGAGGGGGCAUCUGUUGUUACCUAAUUUUUUACCAAUAUUUUUUAUAAAAUUUUCGAAAAAAAUCCAAAAAUAGCGAAAAUCAACGAAAAUUCAAAAAAAUACGUUUUUUUAAUAUAUUUGCAUCGUUUUUAGCAUUUUCAGCAUCGUCUCAAAAGAAUUUAAAUUUUCAAAGAUCUUUGGAACGCGUUCGACUUUUAACGCGUUAUUUUUAAAAUCACCAAUUUUUUUCAUUUGAGUCGAUGUUGAUAAGAAAAACCCAAGAAAGUAAGAAAAAUCAAAUUUACAAAAAAAGAAAGAAGUUGAGGGACCAAGUUUGGAAACCUAGCAAUACUUUUACAUAUAAAUAGAAGUUUCAAACAUACACAGGAGGGGCAAUUUUGCACAAUUAAAAAAACACAAAAAACCCUAAGAAUUGGAACCCUUUCUUCUCCCUCACUAAAGCCGCCGUCCACUCCCAUUCUCUACAAAAAAAGAAGCCAACCCCCCUGCUUUUGAUUUUCCUUCACCACAACAGCCGACCGAACACCAACCCUCACUAUCUCCUUCUCCCCUCAGCCGAGCUGCCUCCCCUCACCAGACCAUCCCCAUUUUGCCUUUAACCAGACCUCCCCUCAACCAGCAGACCCAACGCCUGCACCCAACACAAGUUCCCCUCCCACUCCAGCCUUCACCCAAACCUCCAGCAGCGGCAAUUUCUGCCCACAGCUGAUAGACCCAGCUUUAUCUCCUUCAACCGACCUCUAGCAACAGCCUACACACAGCGGCGCUCGUGGAAGCAACCCCAUCGCCGGCUUUCACAGAUCAGCUCCCUUCCUCGGCCAGCCGUUCCUCAGUUUUUCCACCCGACAAACGAAGCCGGCCACCGCCAGACCUACAACCUGAUAGCUCCCUCCCAACCACCAAAUCUGCCAUCGGCAGAAGAAAAAAAAACAGAGAAGGAAAGAAGGACCGGGAGCAGAUCUGUAAAGGAAAGAAAAAUUAAAACCGACUGCUGUUUGUGCAUUUUUUAUUUUGUUGUAGGUGACGGUGACCCUCACCGUCGGCGUAGGAAGAUAGUGAAGAAGAAGACGUUCCCAAUCCACCGGUUUUGUUGGCUUCAUCGGCGGCGGCGGAGCGUGGAACAAACACGCCGCCACUGUCUUGCGGCUCCAGAAGUCUGCCUGACACUGUUCCGGUGGUGCAGAAGGUCUUCCCUGCAAUUCCUGGAGUUUUAGGGGCUGUUUUGUAAUUUUUAAAGUGUUUAAUGUAAUUUUUGUUUAGUUUUUGAAUUUGUAUAAUUUGUAGUGUGUAAGAAAAAAAAAAAAAGAAAAAAGGAAAAAAUAUAGUAAAAGUGUAUGUGUGUGUUUGUAUUUGUUUUAUGAAUGGUUUUGUUUUUUGAUAAAAUUGCAAAGAAUAAAGAAGAAUUUAAUAUUUUGAUUUGCUCACGGUAAAAGAUUAUGAACUUACACAUAAGUUAUAUUUCUAAUAUCCGAUGAAAAGAUAAAAUUUUUAAAACUUCUUUAACACAUCAAAGCCACGAAGCAGCUUACCUCAGGUAGGGUGUGUUAGGGGUGCUAAUACCUUCCCUAACCACAACUAGUCCCUUACCCGUGAAUCUCUGACAAGACCAGUACACCCGGGCUUCCUAGUAGUCCUCAAUUAAAUACUAGGUGGCGACUCCCAACGAAUCAAAUCAAACGAAAAGAAAAAUCGCCAAACAGACGCCACGCGGGUGACGUGCGACAACGAUUCUCUUUGCACUUAGUAAGUUAACUAGGUCACAUCGAGACAAUUCCUAUACAAUUUAAUUUGAAAUCUAGGUUAAAUAAAAGAAGGGUCAGAAGUUUUCAAGUUUUACUUAUUGGGCCAGGUUUAAUAUAAAUGCUUAAGUUUUCCUACGACCUGAACAAUUUUACAUAUAUGUGGACUUGUCUUUGAAGAGAGAGAUGGAGAGCGAAAGAGUCCCACUAGAUUGUUGUGAUCUGAGGAGGUUUGUUGUUGGUGUAUAUUUUUUUGCAUUUAGUAAAGACUUAAUUUACUAUACAAUAGAAACACACAUUUAUAAACACUCAGGAGGGAUAGACAUCUUUUUCUUCUUUAUUCAUUUACAAACUACACACUUGACCGUUGUGAUAUGAGGAGGUUUGUUGUUGGUGUAUAAUGUUUUGCAUUAAGUAAAGCGUUUUUAAAUAUUCUAAAAAAAUUAUAGGGAUUUAUUGUGUAAAAUCACAUUAUUGAUUCCCUCACAAAACACUUUGUAUUUAUUGUUCAUGGUCUUUUUCUUUUUUCAUCCCAAAUUCGACACCAAUUUGAGUUAAUUUAUUAGGAAAGAGUAAGAUUAAUUAUAAGACAUGGGACUAAAGUGAAGGAGGUAAAGGAAAUGACUAACUUUUUCAAAUUUUAUGCAAAAUAUUUAUUGUGGACCUUAUACUUUCUAAAUUAUAUAUAUUAAGUCCCCUCAAUUUUUAAAAUUUCAUAAAAAAAUCAUUUUCAAUCUAAAACUUUAUUUUUCUCAUUUUUAGUCCCUAGUUCAAGAGAAGAGAAAGAAAGUCUCUAAAUUUUGAUAAUAGAGAAAGAAAAUCAUCGUUGACACUGAUUAUAACCAUUAAAAUGGUCGAUCUUGGUGUUAACAAGUUCCAUUCGGUGAGGAGAGUUUAACUUGUGUGUUUUUUCACUUUCAAAUUACCUAAAAAAUAGAUAUGAGCUUUGAAAGAUUUUUGUUUUGGGUUGAUUUUCAGUUUUUGAUGAAUUUAACAAGUUGUCUAGGAUUUUUUUUUCUAAGCGUUUUGGGUCAAAAUGGGUUGAAAAUCAAAAUUUUCUCCAUUUCACAUUUCAUUGUGGACUCGCAGUUUAAAAAUUUUGUAUUUUUUUAAUUUUGGUCAGACGUGUUUUGAGGUGAUUGCCUCUUUUUGGGACCAAAUUAAAAGACAAUGGAUUCAAAUCUAUUGACCAAGGACACGAUUGAAAGAAUGAGAACCAAAGAGAAAAAAUAGGUGAAAAUAGGUGGUCCUUUCAAACUUUAGUCAAAAAGUACACUUUGGUCCUUAUAUUUUUUAAAUUAUAAGCUUUUAGUCUACAUAUUUUUUAUACAAUUUCAUUUUGGCCCAAAACUUUAUUUCUACUAUUUUUUAGUCCUUUGUUUGAGAGAUGAGAAAGAAAGUGGUCAAAUUCUUGUCGUAAAGAGAAAGUUCUAGUUUACAUUGCUUUUAACCACGAAAAAUAUCGAUUUUAAUGUCAGUUGCUUACACUCAAUGAAGGGAGUGUAUCGUAGGUGUUCUUUUAUCUUAACUUUGACUAAGAUGUUAGAUUUGAGCUUGAAAAGUUAUUUGAUUUCAGGUUGAUUUUGAGUUUUUUGUUGUAUUUUUGGGUUUUUAGUCCAUUUAUAGGGUUAUCAAGGUGUUUUGGGCAUUUUAUAGGUGUUAAGAUCAAAAUGGAUUGAAAAAUAGGUUUUUAUAUCAAAACACCAUCGGCUCGGAUUUCUCAACCACCAUAAUGGCAGGAAUAUAUGGAAAAGUAGACGACGCAUUGUUUUCUUCAGUAGGUGACUUAUUGUCUGCUUAGUUUUUUUCAAAAAAAUUAGGGUUGUCUGGCCUUUAAUUAACAAAUAAAUAAAAAAUUCAGCCCAAGCAUGCGAGCUUAGGCUCAAAGGCGCAUGCCCUAGGCCUUUUUUUCAACUUUAAUAAAUUUUUAUCAAAGUUUUAUAAUGAUUUUUGAUAGAAUAUGAUUCAAUUUGCACUUAUUUUAUAGGUAAGAUUUUAUUUUUAUUUUUUUAUAUUAGGAGAGAUUCUUUAUUUUUUGCCUUACUUAAAUUUAUUUCCCUUUAAUUUUAUUCAAACGCUCUCCUAUGCGUAUAUUAUUAUUAUUAUUUAAUUAAAUAAAACAUUUAUUCCAAGAACAAAAUAUUAUUAGAUACAAUAAAGUCAAUACAAUCAAGUUUAUUAUCCAAGUUUCGAGAUUAAAUGCCUAGAGCCACAUCUAUCUCUCAACUUUGCAUUUUUUUUGGUUAAAUAUCACUUGUUUUUUACUUGAUUUUAGCAAAAAAUUAUUUUAUUUUUUAAAUAUAUGCAGCCUUGCAUGAUUUUUUUUUCUUUGAUUUUAUUCUAAGAAACAAAGUUAUUAGACAUAACUGGAUACAUGACCCAUGUUGCGAGAUCAAAUAUCUUGAACCACAUCUAGCUCUCUAUUUUUUUUUAGUUUUGUCUUUAGUUAUCAUUGAUAGCUUUUUUUGAAAAAAUUUAAUGGCAUAGAUAAUUAUUUGACUAAAUAAAGAAUUUAUUCAAACUAACAAAGUUAUUAAACAUAAUUAUGUAUAUGACCCUUAUUAUGAGCUCAAAUAUCUUGAUCUAUAUCUUUCUGUUGAUUUUUUAAGUUUAGUCUUUACUUAUCAUUAAUGUCUUUUUUAUAUUUAUUGGCAAUAAUAAUUAUUGAUUUAUUUAAUUAGAUAUAUGUAUAAGCUUUUUAUUUUUGUUUGUGAUUUUUUUAUGCUGAAAAAACACGUUAAAAAAGUAUGCAUAUUCAUUGUUUUUGCUGAAUAGUAAAAUUAUUUAAUCUGCAGUGGAGCACAGGUCAAAUAGAUAGAAUAAUAAUUGAAUGAUGCAACUUUAAAUAUAUUACAUGUUUAUUAAUAUAUAUGGAAUUCUUACAUGUCAAUCUCUUGAUCAAUAAUAGUUUACCAUCUAAUUAAAAAUUAAAACAUAUAUCUCAUAUCUUGUGUGCAUCAUAUCAACACUCAUUAAAAGGUUUUAGUGUCAACCUCAUCUUAGAUUGCUAAUCAGCCACGAACUUGUCAUAAGUGGAAACAAUGGUCUUCUACUAUAUGUUAUCAUUAACCUUCAUGGAGUUGCCAAGUCGUCUAGGCAUGUAUCUCAUAGCUUGUAGUAAAAAGCUCAUUGUUGCAUGCUUCGUGUUCUUCUAAAUGGAUUCCUUUCGGUUUGUCUAAUCAGAUUGUGAAAAGAAAAGCAUUGACAUUAUCAACAAUGUUCGUUUUAUAACCCAUCUUCAUGUGGUGAAAUGCACUUUUGGGCUUCAAAAUAGAUGGUCUUGUAGUUAGUCUUAGUGGUGUGCAUCUUUCCAACAUUCAUUCAAAUGCAACUAUGCAAUAACAUUUGUUAGGAGUCAUAGCCAUGUUUGAGAGGGUAAACCGAGAUGAAGAUAUGAAGAUGUCCUUCACGUGCAGCAUUGUGCCACAGUUAGUCUUGGUGGUGUGCAUCCUUCCGACAUUCGUUUAAAAGUAGCCAUGUGAUAACAUUUUUUUGUCUAUCAUCAAAAGGCACUUGUCAUCAUACCUUUGAUGGACUUCAUUGAUUCACCAUUUGAUUAUAUUUUUUUUUUGCCAGCUGAUCUGAAUACUAUUUGUUUUUUUUCUCAGGGUCCAGUGUAUUACCCCUAGGUGGUCAGCUUUUCAAGGAUGAGCAAGAAGUGUCAAUGUUAGCUCUGUCAAGAAUUUUGCAAACUCUAUCAAUGUUGUUCUUAUUUGACAAUAUUUAUUGUGCUAGAAUCAGCUCUCACAUUUCAAAGAUCAUAUAUCUAUUCAAGUCUAAUUAUUGAAAUGAAAUCAAAGAGAUGUCUGUUUUUAAAAAGUAUUUUUGAAAAUCAAUCUUGUUUGGUCAAAGACCCAACACACACCAUUAAGUACAUGUAGUCCUUUGACUAUCUUGUAUUUUGAAAACAGAAAUUGACUUGUUGUGAGAUUAAAAUAACUUUUCUAUGGUUUUUUUCUGCCCAUUUUAAUCUCUGAUCUUGGGUACAUUUUUUUGAUAGUACGUGAUGAGGUGACAUUCCGUGAAUUUCAAAAAAUUAAAACUGGAGGCUUUAUCAAGAAAUGUUGUUUCUUCUGAGCACCUAUUUUAUCAGCAUAUAUAACAACCAGUAACUUAAUUCAUGAAGCUAUGAGUCUUAUAGAAAGGCUCUUCAAGUUUUAAGAGUACCAUUUAUCGAUUCAAAUUGCUUACCUGAUUAAAAAGAGCUUUUGAAAGCAUGAAAUGCAAGCCAGGGUUCAUGUCUAUGAAUGAAAGGAAAAUUCACAUGUUCAAAAGGUGUUUGAGGGUUUCAAAGACAUAGGAUCAACAUCAACUAUUCAUCAGCUCUCUUUCUAUUGUUGUCUUUAUAAAGAAAAUGACAUAUAACCAUGUUAACCUCAACGAUCAGAAUUCUCUUGACAUAGAUCAUAAUACAAAUCCAACUUUUAAUUUGAUGAAUAACCAAUCUAAUCAUUUGAAAAUACUAGAGGCUUUAUCAUAGACACCAAAAAACAUGUUUAUAGCUUAGUGUUUUUUUUCUGGUGUUGACUUUUGGCAUUUGCUGUGUCUGCUAAGACUCAACUCGCCUCUUGCUCACCAACUUCAGGACUCAAUUCUUGAAAUUUUUGUAACUAUUCAAUUGAAUGGCCCAGGACCACACUAUGAUAUUCACAUCUCUUAUCUGGAUUAUACCACCUAGCAAAUGGUGGUUGCAUGAGAUUUCAUGAAGUCAAGGCAAUAAGUCCAAAAUCUAACAGAUGCUGGUAGAUGAACUUGAUUGGCAAAGGGAUGUCACUCUUGACAAAGGAACUUGAUGAGUUGUUGCUACAAAGAGACCUGACUGGAUCAUAAAACUAAGGUUCCCACUUAAGAGUCAUCUUCUGAUCAUUGUUCUGGAAUCCACGAUAAGACCUUCAAUAUUUCCCAUCUUGCUAGCUUGUUCAAUUCUUUCGGCAAUAAUCACAACCUUCUGUCAAUCUUCCAAGGUGGUUGUGGUUGUCUGGGGACUGUUGGAAACCUUUUAAUUAUUUUUCCUUGUGUGGGACACAGACUACCAGUGUUUCCACAAGAGGUUGUGCAAACAUUCCCUUUGUAUUCUUGAAGUGCAACACUUGUUCAAGCAGAUUUAUGAGUCUAGCUAUUUCACCUUUGAUGCUUUUCAAUUUUCUUUUGAUAAUGAGCCUCUAUCUGAUCCCUUUCUUUAUUUUCCAUCUUUUUCUCGGUCCAAUGCAGUAAACCUCAGGUGGGGGAACCUAUGUUUCAACCUUGGGGCAAGCAUGAUAAAUGUAUGUGCAUGUUUUUAUAUGAUGAACUCGCCUUUUAAGGGAUGACACAUGGUCAUAACUGUUGCAUGAUGAAAUAAGAAUUUUGAUUCUUGCUCGAACUCUACAACAAAAAUUCCUUGAGUGACGGUCAUUGUGUCACCUGUAAGUCCUGAAUUCAAGAUGAUUCAAAAAGGGCUAGCUUUGAUGCAAAACGAUGUAUAGGGUGCAUACAUCCUAAAUGCAAGUUCUAAUUGUUUUACGUGAGACAAGGGGUAGGUUUACUACUUGGUCUCUAAGAAGGGGUCUCUCGUUGUCCCAGUGAUCAUCCUCCAAAGGUCGAUAUCAGGCUUACAAGUAACGUGAAGAUAGAGGCCUUAAAUAAUAUCGGAUUGGCAUACCAACCACUAUCGAGUAAAUAAUCAAGCAAGAACUGGAUGGUUUCACGAGUCUUACACGGGCUAAAGUCAUUGGGGUACCGUUACUUCCCCACUUAACUUAAAGUUCAUAUAGCAAAUAUUUAAAAUGAAAUGAGUGGUGCGUGAAGGCACAAAUCUAUAUCCAAUAUGUGCAGGAUGACAUGAAUAAAUAUGCAUGAUAAAGGUGUAGAAAUAAAAUAAAAAUUCAUAAUAAAAAAACACAACACGACAAACGUUUUUAGCAAUUAACAAACAAAAGGCAAAGCUUAGUCCUAGAGUUCCCAUAUGGAGUCGUCAUUCUGCCGUACCCGACAUCGCGACAACCUUUAAAAAUUCAAAAUUUGGCGAAGAAAGAACAUAUUUUCUAGCAUUUGUUCUUGGGGGAAAAUGUCUUGUUUAAGGAGUCGACACCUAGUAUUAUGAUCACUAGGAACCCUAAUUGAUCAACAUAGAUUCUAUGAUACAAGACUGGUUAUGCAAAAGAAAAGAUGUUAUCACUCCUUAAACGUCCUACCUAAAGUAGACAGUAUUGCUAGUUUUGUCUUAAAUUGCUAAGGAUUUGUUAUACUAUGCUACCUAUGGUAUACUUGUAAUAUUCCUGACUCUGGUGUUAGUGAAUAUUCAACAAUAGAUACUUUCAACUUUGACAUUCAUAAAUAUUACGUAGCAAAAAACACAUAGGGUAUUCCUGACUUUUUUGGAAUUUCUCGUUUGGCAAGAUAUUAAAACAGAAGGGAAUAAAAUAAAGAAGAUUGAGAUGGCCGGGCCUGAGGCCCAGGCCCACCCAGCCCCAAUGUUUUUUUAUUUUUUUAUUUUUUUGAGGCCGUGUCCAGCUCAGCCGGUACAGACUGGGCUAGAUCCAGCGGCCUAGCCCGUUACUGGCCCAUGCCAGUAACCGGCCCUUUUCUUUUUGUCAGGCGUGUGUGAACUGUUCACGCACGCCUGCCUCAGGAACUAUGUAAUGAAAAUGCAAAACGGGGAAAACGAAAGCUUACCUGGUUUGCAGAGACUUUGAACAAGAACCUGCAGGUGCUGGGCGAAGCUUCUCUUUUCCGCUUCCUUUCUGCUCUUUGUCCCUUCUUUUUCUUGUUCUUCCUGUUUUCGUUUUCUCACGUUUUGUCUCUCUCUCGUCCCCUCUGUGUUUUUUCUGGUUUUCGUUCGUCCUCUCUCUGUUUUUGUUUUCUUUUUGCUUUUUCGUUCUCUCUAUUCUUUUCUGGCUUUAGUUCCUCUGUUUCUGCUUCUUUUCUUUCGUUUUUUUCUCUCUGAAGUUAGUUCCUAUCUAUGCUCGUCCCCGUCUUCUAUGUUUUUCUAUUCGUCUUUGUUGUUUCCUCCUUUGACUUCUGUUUUUUAUCUUGUUGCCCUGUGUUUUUCUGUUCGUCCCCUGGUUCUGUCGGUUUGCUCUCAGUCCCCCGGUCUACCUCUGUUUGCCUUAGUAAUAUAUAUGUACUAGCAUGAGGGGGAGUGUUGGUGUAAGGCUAGUAAUAUGUUUAUUUAGUUUUCUUGUAAAUAUAGGUAUCAAUGUAAAUAGAGCAUCUACACACACUAAUCAAGGAAAUAACUCAUCAUACAAUAUUUUUACCCUAAAAUUACUUGGUAACUGAAAUGUACAAAUGAAUCAGCUAAUAUGUAUAUUGAUGGUAUCCAUAUAAUAUAUUCUUUCUUGCUUACAGAUAAAAUACCAGGAUAUUGUGAAAAAUGAAGAAUGAACACAGUAUCUUGAAAAUUUCCAAAACCAUCUUUCAAGGUCUAUAUGAAGCAAUAACCUCAUAGUUCUCUCACUAACACAUCUAUCUUACUGUAUAUGGUAAGCACGAACAUACAAAGAUCCUGAACGUUAACUUAAACUACAUCAUCAUCAUAAUCAUAAUCAUCAUCAUCAUCAUCAUCAUCAUCAUCAAUCAAUCCUUCCCUAACAUCUCCAGUAAUGCCCCUUUGUCCCCCCUUACAAGGACCAUAAGCCUUGCUACAAGCAAGAUAAUAAAUGAAGUUAGCAAAACCCAAACUAGAAAGCAGCCAGUAAUAGUAAUCAUAAUGUCCUUUGUUGAUGUUGCUUGAAACCCAACUCUCUUGAUUUGCUUCACCAAUAAACCCACGAACAUUACUUACUAUAAAACUGGCCACCAAGCUUGCAGCAGACAGUCCAAUACUAAAAAGAUUCGAGGCCACGCUAGACAUGCUUUUAGGCAAUUCAGUGUAGAAGAACUCAUUCAGUCCAACACCAUUCAUAGCCUCAGAAAAUCCAAGUAAGAAAUAGAAUGGCAAUAACCACAUUGCAGACAUGUGCGUAACCGCGUCAGGAAUAUCUGAAAUUCCUUCCCUGAUUGCAAUUUCUCGUCGCACCCUCUCUAUAAUUGCCAGUACUGCCAUGGAAGCAGCCGAGACCAGAAUCCCGAUUCCUAUUUUCUGUUUCAAGCCGAGACGUGUUGGUUUUCCCGUGAUUUUUGAUGCUAGAGGGAUGAUUACGCGAUCGUAGAGAGCAAUCCACAUUGUUGCAGAGAGCAACAGAAAUGCAUAGAAUGAUCCAGCAGGAAUUUCAAAUUUCGAAGUGAUAUGUCGGUUCAUAGUGGAUGCCUGGAGUAAUAGGAAAGAGUUUUGACAGACAUUUACAGACACCAACACCCCUGUCGACCAUAUUGGGAUUACCUUUAUUAGUGCUUUCAGCUCUUCUACUUGAUCUACUGUACAAAGACUCCAUGGAUCUGAAGCUCUUCCAUCUGGCAUCAAGUCUUCUUCAGGAUUCUUAAUAACACAAGCUUUGUUGAGAAACCUAAGGCAAGAUAAGACAAAAGGAAAUCCUUAUAGGAACUAUCAUAUAUAAAAUUACCUUAUUAUACAAGUGCUUCACAGGUAGGUUAAUUACCUUAUUCUUUCACUUGGCACGACAAGCGCGGAUCCCUUCCUAUGAUGAUACAGCUCAUCCGUGUCUAGUGAAGAUAAUUCAAUCCUUCUCUUUCUAAAGGAGGCCACGAGAACUCGAGCAAAUCCGAUGAGCCAGCUUGCCUUAGCCUUUGGCUUGACAUAAAUGGGAGAAGCCAAGAAGAACGAAAGAGUUGACAGGAUCAUGAGAACCACAGGAACUCCGAAACCCACCUUCCAGCCCAUGGCCUCUUGAAUGUAAACCACACAAGUCAUGGAAAUAAAUACAGAAGCUGAUGAUAUAACAUAGUACCAACUGAAGAAGCUCUCUAAUAUUCCAGCAUGUUUAAGGCUGUCCCUCUUGCUCAAUUGAUCAGCACCAAAGGCCAGGGAGCAUGAUCUUAUGCCACCAGCUCCGAUAGACAUAAGGCCUAAGCAAAAAUAUAGAAACAAAAGCUGUGGUGUCGUCGCGUCGUUAUUGCAUAUGCUACUAAAUUGGGCGCAAGAAGGCACCGUUGCCCCAGGAAUUAUUGUUGUCAACCACAAUAGAACCAUUCCCUGCACAUUUAUUUGAUUCCAGUUAAUAUUUUGACAUGAUCAAGAGUUUUGAGAAAGUUUUUUUUCCUUCUUCUAAACUUCAACGUCGUAUUAAUUAGAGAAGAGCAAACAACUUUAGUGUGUGUGUGAGAUGAAGAUUUGUCAAUUUGGACAACACAUGAUAACAGGUCUUGUUGAAGAUUUUUAUAAAAGGAUUUAAGAAUAAAAUAGAUAUAAUUAAACAUGUUGAUAUAUAUAUAUAUAUGUAUAUGUGUGCGUGCGUGCGUGUGUAAGGAUGGAUAACUAUAUAUUUUUCCAAGCUUUAUCCACGAUAGCUUGUUACUUGUUUAUUAAUUCUUGUGAGAUUGGCUUCCGAAACAAGCUAUGGGUCCAUCCAUAUGCAGAUAUCUCGUUACUUAUAAAAUAUUCAGAAAUAUAAUAAUAAAAUAUAUUGUUGUUUUCAUCAGCUAUAUUAAAAGGAAUUUAUCAUCCAGUAAUAAAAUAUUACUGGUGGAGGAGGAUUCAAUAUGCGGCAGUGUUUGGAACGUUGGAAUGAGGUUUCCAUCGUGUUUAAAAUUUUUAUUUUUAAUUUUUUUAUAUAUAUUUUAAAAUUAAGUGAAAAUGAAACUUAUCAAUUACCCGGGCUCUCUCACGUGGUGUUAAAAAACCCCUUUCAAAAAAAAAUAUAUAUCUGAAGUUAUUAAUAAUAUGUAUUAACUCUUACAUAUUUUAAUUGAAAAUCCUUUAAAUUUAAAAUUUAUAGAGGUUAAUACUAUAACAUGUUUUAAAUUUUAAAUUUAAUUAAAAAAUUUAACACGUUUAGUAUAUUAAAAAUUAUUUCAAUUUAAAAAACUCAUUUAAGAUUAGCAAUGGACUUAAUUAAUUGGAAUCACCACUUUUGUUUGUGAGAGAAUCGCCACUGAGCCAUAGAUCCGUUGGCCGGACACAUGGUUGUCUUCGUGACAAACAGAAGGGAGAAAAAUAGAGAGACGAGAGAUGAUGCAAAGUUGGAAAGAAAUAAUGUUACCAGAAGGCUCGCAAUACAUCCAAAGCCGAUCAUCGGGUAUCGACCCACAUAUGUAUCAGCAAGAAAAGCCCCAAUAAUUGGCAUGAAAUUCCCAGCAGCUGAGUAGAGGAAGAGUAUUUGGGCACCGCUAGCUGCAUCCAUACCAUACUCUCUAGUCAAAUACAGUAUCAUAUUUGUUGAUAGCCCGAAACUUGCUAGCCUCUCCAGUGCCUCAUUUGCUGUCAAAACAUCAAUUUAAACCACAUUACUUGAACAGUAAUAUAUAUAAGCUGCCAUGUAACCUGCUGCUCAUAAUAUAUGCGUCUGCGUGCAUGUUGCUGAAUGUGUAUUAAAUACCUAUGAUGAAAAACAAGGCUCUUAUGCCACCCUUCGGGCUGCUCAAGAGUGGCUCUGUGAUCAUCUCCUUCGGAUCUGAUUGUGCACUCUGUCGAUGGAGGGAAAGAGUCUUGCAGCUUCUUCAGUCCACUAAUUUGUUGUGAGAGAUCAUUUGGUGCACGAUGAAUACAUAUAUUCCACCAGAGAUUUGUUGCCUUAAGUAAGCUCCUUUGUUUUCCCGCUGCUGGUUUUGGCUUCAUUAGCUGUUCCUCUAGGAUUCAUUAGCUGUCCUUCGAUUGAUUCUAUCCAUAAAAAAAGAAAUAUAGAUUGAACGUUGAUGUCACUGGAUAAUAAUUCUUUAGUAAACGUAAGAUUUUCUCAAGUUGCAAUUUUUUAUUUCACUGUAACCUGUUUCCCGGAAGAACAGCGUAAAUUCGAGCACACAAAUAUUCUAUUCAUCUUUUAAGCCAAGUAUCCAAGCACAGACAAGCUGAAUUUUGUAGAAACAGAAUUCUUCCUUGCAGGUUUUACUUAGCUCUUGCCCAAUUGGAUUUAGGACCAUGUUUUUGGAUUAAAUUAUGUAUCCUUGUUAAUCCAAUCAACUUCAUGUAUGAUCUUCCAACAAGGAUAUUGCACAUGUCAGGUGGUUUUUUGGUACACUGCCACUACACCGUCUCUGACACAGUUUCACAAAAAAACUGAAAGGGAAAACCACCCCGCUUAUUGUACUUCAACUUGCACAUAUAAUAAAUUGAAAGGGAAAACAUUCAUUGUAUUGUUCAUAGAUUGCUAUUCAUACGCAUUCAUUGUACUCUUUGCUUAUUAUUAUUAUUAUUAUUUGAUUUGAUAAAAUAAAAUUGUAUAGAAGUUGAUAGCAAUGAGCUCAAUGCUAUGCAUCAACUUUGUUCUGCAACUUCAGGAGGGCUAAAAACCAUCUCCUGAAAGUGGUUCAUAAUGGUUCUGUUGUUGAAGGUUUACCGGUCAUAAAAGAUGCGGCAGUUAACUUCUUCUCCAACUUAUUCAGAAGUCCUGAUAGAUUCCGAAUUGGUUUAGGGCCUGUUGGUUUUAAAACACUCUCGGCUUCUUCUUUAGCUAGCUUGGAGCGAGAUAUCACUUUGGAAGAAUUAAAGCAGAGUGUUUGGGAUUGUGAUGGGAGCAAGAGUCCGGGUCCAGAUGGUUUCAAUUUCAAAUUCUACAGGCUUGCUUGGAAUUUCAUUGCAGAUGAUCUGUUAGACCUGGCCAAGAAUUUCUUCAAAACAGGUAGGCUUCCAAAAGGAGUCAAUCAUGCUUAUGUUCAUCUAAUUCCGAAGAUAGCUUCCCCAGUUGGCUUCAAAGACUUCAGGCCUCUUAGUUUGAUUCAUGGCAUUUACAAGAUAAUGGCUAAGGUUCUUUCUAGCCGUCUGAAAGCGGUUAUGCAUGACCUUAUCAGUGAGAAUCAAACAGCUUUCUUGGCAGGGAGGCAAAUAAUUGAUGGGUUUUUGGUUGCCAAUGAAGCAGUUCAUUCCUUGAAAAGACACAGAGUGCCGAGCCUUAUCUUUAAGGUGGAUUUUCACAAAGCUUUUGAUAGUGUGCAGUGGGAUUAUUUAGAGCAGGUUAUGAGGCAUAUGGGUUUUGGUGAAAAAUGGAUUAAUUGGAUCAACACUUGCAUCUCCACCGCAAAAUUAUCAGUGCUGAUUAAUGGAUCUCCUUCUAAGGAAUUCUUGAUGGGCCGUGGGAUUCGCCAAGGUGACCCCCUUUCUCCAUUCCUUUUUCUAAUAGCAGCAGAGGGAUUAUCUGUUUUGUUUCAAAGAGCAGCUUCAAAUGAUCUUUUCAAAGGUAUCCCUUUUGGAGAUAACUUUUGCCUCAGUCACCUACAAUAUGCAGACGACACUUUAAUCAUCAUGCCUGCUAAUCUUCAUAUGGUCAAAACAGUUAAAAGGAUCCUGUUGUGGUUCGCUAUUUGUUCAGGUUUGCACAUUAACUUCCAUAAAAGCUCUUUAAUUGGCAUAAAUGUUGGGGAAGAUACUUGUGCUAGUAUGGCAUAUUCAGUCUUUUGCAGAUUUGAUUUCUUGCCUUGCUCUUAUCUAGGCAUGCCUUUAGGAUCCAAUCCUAAAAGAUUGUCUACAUGAAAGCCUAUUAUUGAGAAUUUCAGACGAAAGUUGAGCAUGUGGAGAGGUCGUAUGCUUAGUAUGGCAGGACGUAUCUGCCUAAUCAAAAGUGUCUUGAGUUCAUUGCCAGUAUAUUAUAUGUCUUCUUUUCUUAUGCCGAAAGGUGUCUGUAAUUUACUAACAUCUAUUCAACGAAGAUUCUUGUGGUCUGGAGUGGCAAAGCAAAAGAAAAUCUGCAAGGUUCAGUGGCGUAUUGUUGUGAAAGCUAGAAAAGAAGGAGGCCUCGGGUUGGGUUCUUUAAUGUCAAAAAAUAUAUCCAUGCUUUUCAAAUGGAUAUGGAGGCUAAACUUACCAGACCAUGCCUUAUGGAAACCAGGUAACAACCCAUUUUACUCCCCAACUUUCGAGAUGGGAUCCCAAACUUGCAUGGUCAUAUUUCCCCAUUUUGGAAAGACGUUUUGUCAAUCUUGAUCCAAACAGUGUCAUCGGCUUAGUAUUGCGUGAAAACAUUAAAUUCAAGAUUGGAGAUGGAUCCUCCAUCCUUUUCUGGUCUGACGAGUGGAUAGGAUCAAAUGCUUUACUUAGCAUUUUCCCUAAGCUUUACCAAAUUUCUACUUUUCGGAAUGGUUUGGUUAAUGAGAUGGGUCAAUGGGUGAAUGAUCAAUGGCGAUGGAAUUUGGUUUGGCGUAGGAAGCUCUUAUCUUAUGAAGAGCAACAAUAUCAUCAUUUGCUCUCAAUGCUGGAGCCAACGAUAAUUCGACAAGGAAAAGAUGACAAACUUAUAUGGUCAUGCAAUUCUGAUGGAAGCUUCUCAGUUAAAUCGUGUUGCACCCUAAUUGACAAUACUUCCUCUGCGACUGAUAGAGUCUUCGAAGCCAAUGUUUGGAUUAAAGGGGCCCCUCCAAAAGUUCAGGUGUUUCUCUGGUUGGCAGUACAGGACAAAGUUAGUACAAGAGCUUUUCUCCAUCAACGAACUGUUUUGUCUGCCACACAAGCUUCAUGUGUCUUUUGCAGCUCAAAUUUGGAAACCUCAGAGCAUCUUUUUAUACAUUGUAACUUUUCUAGGAGUGUUUGGAUGAAAGUUUUGGAUUGGUGGGGUAUCCAAUGUUGUUUACCGAGAACAAUUGACUUGCUGCUUCUGCAGUGGCCCGAAAUGGUACAUGGCAAAUUCCAAAGAUCAGCUUGGAGAUUAAUUUCAAGUAGUACUAUUUGGGGUAUAUGGUUGCUGAGGAACAAAAUUGUUUUUGAGGAGGGAGCUAUAAACUUGUUUGAUUGUUUCUCCACCAUCCUUCAUCGGGUUGCUAUUUGGUUGCAUUCUCAAGAUUCAAACUUCAAUUAUACAGGAAAUGACCUCUUAAGAUCUUCUGAUGGCAUCAAAUUAUGGUGUAAUAAGAAAUCUUAGGUAGUCUUCUUGUUGUUUGCUGUAGUAGAUCAGUUUUUUUUUUUUUUUUUUAAUAUCUCUUGUAUUUCUUUUUGGCUAUUCACGUUAUGGCCUUCUCAAUAUACUCUCGAUGAUUAUAAAAAAAAAAAGUAGUUAAGAAACUCGACUGUAGUGGUCUUAUUAAAGAUUCUAAGGGUAAGGAACUGGUUGUAACUAGAAAAUGUAUUAGCACCCCUAGUACACUACCCUACAUAGCAUAUCUUACCCGAGCUAAGCUGCAUUGCAUGACCUGCGUCAUAACCUAUUUUUGGGUUCUUCCCAAUUACAUUUCCUUUCCUUCUUCAAAAAAAAAAAAAACAACAGAACACCGAAAUAGUACCGUUUUGAACAACAAUGUUCUCCUUCUUCCCUGCACAUACAGAGACAGGAAAUAAGAAGAUUGUAAAUCCUUUUUCCCACUCUCCCCCCCCCCCGACUUGACCCCUCACCCGACACAACCCAUGCCCCUACAUACCCUGCCACCACACCGAAUAAAAGACAGAGGCAUCAUGUCCUGCAAUUAGGUGGCCACCUUACCCUGCAGAGGUAAGGUAGCACCGCUCCCCCCUGCACCAUGAAGGGAUAGAGCAGGGGGCUCCCUCUUCUCCUGCUUAUAAAUAGAAGGGGAGGAGAACGAACUAAAGGGAAGGGGAAAAAUUUAAGGAAUGAGAAACAGAGGGUUUUGAGAAGAUAGAAAGAUUUGAAAAAAAAAACAGGAAACAGAGAGGAGAUUUUAGAGAGAAGAAAGUUGAAAAACAGAGGAGGGUUGUUUUGAAAACAGAAACUAAACGAAGAAGAAAUAUAGAAAACGCUAAGAAAGGAAGAAGAAUCAAUGUUUUUAGCUGUGGUCCGCCACCUGCACUGCCAACGCCAUCGUUAGAGAGAGAAAGAACAAGACAUAGGGAAGCUGAGGGUGGACGAAAGGGAGAAAAGAAAGGAAACAAAAAAUGAAAGAAAGAAGAAACACAGAGAAGCAGAGGAGAGAAGAAGAAGGAUCGCCGCCUGGAACCACCGCCACCAGCGAGCACCACCGUCAGCCACCGCAGGUCAACUCCUUCUCCUUCUUGGUUCUGCUCGGCCCCGACCCCAUCUCCACUAUUCUGCUAAUGAACAAUGGAGAGUGAAUUAUAAUUCACUCUCCAAUGUUCACGUAGCAUCUGAACAGUGGAGAGCCAUUGUUCACUGUCCGGCCUAGUCCAAAAAAAAUUUUAAAAAAAAAUCAUUUCGAAAAUUUGUAAUUUUCCCGCGUAUUUUUCUACUGAAUUUUGCUUAAUAUUGGUUUGUAUUUUUAUACCGUAAAGAUACAAAUCCGGUAUUAAAAUACCCGUCUUUCUCUGAAAUGAUGCAAAAAGAAAAUUAUAUAUAAAAAAAAUGUCUUGCUUUCUUGCAUACGACCAAGUCUCUAAAAAAAAUCAUAUCGUAUUUCCAUACAAAGAAAAUUUCAAAAAAAAAUAUGUUUUGGCAUGCAUUUUCGCUUUAAUAACCAGUUUAUUAAAGUCAUGAGAACUAUGUCAAUAUUUCAAAAACUCCAAAAUUAUCAUUUUGUUUUCUUUUAAUAUUAAGGAUUUCGCACUUAUACGUAAGGCGUACUCUCGAUAUUAAAAGGAUAGUUUUUUUAUUGACAUUAGAAUGGUUAGGUUUAACCCAAUAAGAUAAGGAUCUCCUUACCGAGGGGAACUUUUCUUAAACCAUAGAUAGACGAACAAUUAGACCUUAACAUUUAUCAGACAAUCAAACAAUGCAGCUUACCUUAGUAGGGCGUAUUUGGGGUGUUAAUACCUUCCAUUUACACAAUCAGUCCCCGUGCCCGAUCUCCGAGACCAGUUAGGGUUCCUAGUGACCAAAAUACUAGGUGGCAACUCCCAUUCCAUUUUUCCAUUGAUAAAAGACAAGAAUCCCUUGUCUCCUCAUAUUUGUCAGAUAGAUACCAUACCUGAGAGUGGAAGAUUCGCCACGAUGUCCGCCCACAUGCGACAGUCUGAAUAUGAUUUAAAGGCUUUGAUGAGUUCUUAACCGACAGUUUGUUUAUGUCUUCGGAUGAAGAUUUAUUCGUGUGAAUAAAUCUGGCGUUUUGAAUUUAUUAUGGGCUCGUGUGUCCAAACAAAUUCUUAUGGAAAAGGUUUAUGUAGGUGCGCUGACAGGGUUCACCUAUCUUCGAAGGUAGAAGAAUUUUUCACAACUCGUGUGUUGUGGUGAAAAUACUUCCAAUUAAAAUGUAAUGGACCUAGUAAUCUCAUUCAAAUGAGACACCUCUUUAAAGUAAAUUCCAGCACACAAAUAUUCUGUUCAUCUUUUAAGCUAAGUAUCCAAGCACAGACAAGCUGAAUUUUGUAGAAACAGAAUUCUUCCUUGCAGGUUUUACUUAGCUCUUGCCCAAUUGGAUUUAGGACCAAGUUUUUGGAUUAAAUUAUGUAUCCUUGUUAAUCCAAUCAACUUCAUGUAUGAUCUUCCAACAAGGAUAUUGCACAUGUCAGGUGGUUUUUUGGUACACUGCCACUACACCGUCUCUGAUACACAGUUUCACAAAAAAACUGAAAGGGAAAACAACCCCGCUUAUUGUACUUCAAGUUGCAUAUAUAAUAAAUUGAAAGGGAAAACAUUCAUUGUAUUGUUCAUAAAUUGCUAUUCAUACGCAUUCAUUGUACUCUUUGCUUAUUAUUAUUAUUAUUAUUAUUAUUAUUAUUAUAUGCUUUGCUUUUGUUUUUGUUGUUUGUGAACGAUUUGAUAAAAUAAAAUUGUAUAGAAGUUGAUAGCAAAGAGCUCAAUGCUAUGCAUCAACUGUGUUCUGCAAAAUCAAUCAAUAUCAAGCUAGGAAUAAAAAAUUGUCUCCCAUUGCAAAGCCAAAAUAAGCUUCAAUACGGGCAACAUUUACGAAAGCCAACCGUACGUACAAUAUUUUUAAAUGCAAUAUAUUUGUUUACAGCCCAAAAUAUGCUGGACUCUAAUAUUUUUUUUUCAGUUUCUAGGUUUGAAAGAAUAAAAAUAAUGAUACUUUAAAAUAACGAGAAAGAAAAUUAUUGGUUUGAUACAAUGAAACUCGUUUAUCCUCUUUGAACUGUGAACUAGGGGUGAUCAUUUUCGGUUCGGUUCGGUUUUUAUCAAAAAAAGUAACCAAACCGAAAUUAUUUUUUUUUGAAAAAAAAUACCGAAACCGGGUCAAACCGACCGGUUUCGGUUCGGUUCGGUUUGGUUUUUUAGGGCAAAAACCGGUUCAAACCGGUUUGACUCGGUUUUUCCGGUUUUGGCUCGGUUUUUUCCGGUUUUGCCUCAGUUUUUUUCGGUUUGGCUCGGUUUUUCCGGUUUGGCUCGGUUUGUUUCCGGUUUUUUUCGGUUUUUUCGGUUCGGUUCGGUUCGGUUUUUUCAGUUUUUUGUUUAUAAAACCGAAACCGAACCGAACCGGCCUGUUUUUUUUAAAAUUUAAUCGGUUUAAUCGGUUAUUUUUUUCGGUUCGGUUUUUUCGGUUAUUUUUUUAUGGUUUUCUUGGUUUAAUCGGUUUUCCAGUUUUUUUGCUCACCCCUACUGUGAACAAAUGUGAUGACCAUUAAUUUGAACAUUAUUUUUUUCUUAAACCCUCUAAUUCCAAAACCUUAAUUUAGCCUACUCGGUCAGUUAACUUUCUUUUAGUGAGUUGUCAUUCAUUUUUCAUUACUUUUCCAUUGGUUUGAUUUAUUGUUUUUUUUUUUUAAAUGGGAGUACUGUUUAAUUUUUUUUGUAUAUAAAACUAGGACCAGAUUCAACCCCUCCUAUUCUAUUAUAACGUGUUUGAUGUGGGACCCAUAUGUGCCAUGUAUUUUGGAUAAUUGUUAGUGAUAUCACACGUGUAUGUUGGGCGGUCAAUGAGAGCCAUUUUCCAGUUGUUGGAUUCAGAAUUAUUAAGAAAUUCAGGUAUAUUGAUUUUAUUAAAAAUUCUAAAUAUAAAAAACUGGUUGUGAUUAGAAAAGAUAAAGAUUAAUAUUUAAGGGUUUUGAUAGAUUCCUAACUAGUAGUCUGUUUAUGGCUUAUGAUGAAGAUUUAUUUGUGUGAAUAAAUCUAGCGUUUUAAUUUUAUUGCGGGCUCGUGUGCCCAAAUAAAUUCUUAUGGGAAAAGUACAUAAAGGUGCACUGAUAAGGUUCACCUAUCUUGGAAGGCAGAAGGAUUUUUCAUAACUGGUGUGUUGUGAUAGAAAUACUCCUAAUUAAAAUUAGUGAAUAUUCAGAAUAAUUCUAAAAAUUUUAUAAUGUAUUUUGAAUAAUUGUUAGUGAUAUCGCACAUGUACUCAUGGUAUUGGAUGGUGAAGAGAGUUACCAUAUCGUUGUUUGGUUUAAACUGGUUAAGAAAUCCGGGUGUAUUGAUUUUAUCAAAGAUUUUAAAGGUAAGGGGCUGGUUGUAACUAAGAAAGGUAUUAGUACCCUUAGCACACCCUACCCGAAAUAAGCUGCAUUGCAUGGUCUGAAUAUGGUUUAAGGGUUUUGUUGAGUUCUUAACCGGCAGUUUGUUUAUGUCUUCGGAUGAAGAUUUAUUCGUGUGAAUAAAUCUAGCGUUUUGAAUUUAUUAUGGGCUCAUGUGCCUAAAUAAAUUCUUAUGGAAAAAGUUCAUUUAGGUGUGCUGAUAGAGUUCACCUAUCUUGGAAGGCAUAAGAAUUUUUCACAACUCGUGUGUUAUAAUAAAAAUACUUCUAAUUAAAAUGUAAUGGACCUAGGAAUCUCAUUCAAAUGAGCCACCUUUUUAAAGUAGAGAUGGGCAAUCCAGGUAGCAUCCAUAAUCUUUUUAUUUUUAUUUUUUUGGUUUUAAACAUUCAAAAACAUGUUAGAAAAUACAAACACAAACACACACAUUUGUUUUAUUAUAUUUUACUCACACAAACUACAAUUAUAUUUUUUACAUAUCACCAAAAUUCAAAACAAUUCAAGCACACACACAACAGACAUUUAUAAUUUACAAAAUAGGCCUUCUAAAAUUCAUAAAUUAAUCUAAAGAAAUUGCUAGAAAUUCAGGAACAAUGCUGGGAAGCUUCUAAGUUGCAGGAAUAGUGGCGGUGCGGGGUCUCACACACCACCACCACUUACGACGAGUGGAAUAACGUGUUGUCACUGGUGAAGACAAGAAAUAGGUGGAUAUUGCUUCUUCCUUUUCUUCUUAUGUUGGCAGUGAUUUUUCUUUGUUUUUCACUCCCCUUUUGUGCCGCCUCCUCUCUUCUUUUUAGUGUCUUCUAACCUCUCUCUAUGUCUCUUCGUCACCCUAGUUGAUCCCUCUUUUUCUCUUUUAUAUUUUGGCCUUUUUACCCCCAGAUGGAAAGAAAAAAGUUUCGUUCUAUGUUUUGUAUUCCUUCCUAUCCGGAUAUUGCGGGCUAGAUAUGAAGUAGAAAACGUGUGAAUUCAAAUAUCUCUAUUUCUGGAGAAAUUCUAGAAAAUUGAAUCUUCUUUCCAACGACAUUGAUCUUGAUAACUCGUGACAGCCUUUGAAGUGCAAGAAGUUCGGGUUUGAUUCAAUCUCUAUUAUUCGACUUGCUCUUUGGGCUUCAAAACAGCAAAACUGAGUUCUAUGUCCUUCAUAUGUUUUGUAGAUCUUCUUCUCAGAUAUUUAAAAAUGGUGACGAACGCCUAGAACUGAGUUGUAUAACUUCCUUUGCAGCCCAAAAUCAAUCAAUGUUCGGUUUUACUAUCGGAUUCUACCUAUUCAGUAAUCUAGUAUCUGAAAACACAUUAAUUUCCCACGAGGUCAAUAGUUCAAAAAGAGAUCCAAAAUUCUAAUUAACUUGUGCAACACCACCAAAAUAUUUCAAAAUCAAGCAUGAAUAGUGGAAAAUAUACAUGCUAAAAAUUCCCUUAUCAGUAAUUGUUUUGUAAUGUUUUGGUGAAAACCGGGUAUUUUAAUAUCGAACUUGUAUCUUUACAUUAUAAAAUACAAACCAAUAUUAAGAAAAAUUGUUUAGAAAAAUACGCGGGAAAAUUAUAAAUUUUUGAAAGGAUUUUUUAGAUUUUUUGGAUUUUUUUUUACCGGACCCGACCUGACCUAAUUAUUUUGACCUGGGCCGGACCAAAUAGUGGCUCUCAACUGUUCACAUGCUACAUGAACAGUGGAGAGUGAAUUAUAAUUCACUCUCUACUGUUCAUUAGCAUAAAAGUGGAGCGUGGAAGGGGUGAAGCAACAGAAAAAGGGGAAGAAGAAGAAGAAGAAGAGGGACUGACCUCACGGUGAGGUGCUCUUAUUCAUGGUGGCGGUGUUGUGGCUGUAGGUAGCGGUUCCUCCUCUUUUCUUUUCUAUUUCUGUGUUGCUUCUUUUUUUUGUUUCUAUUCCCUCGCUUCUCUGUUUCUUCUUCUGUUUUUUUAUGGUGGUGGUGCUAUUGUCGAUGGUGGCUCAAUGCAAUUCUUAUGGCAGCGACGAGGAAGUUAGGCGGUGAUGCCUUUUUUUUUCCCUUCUUGUUCCUUCCUUCUUUCUAUUUCCUCCCUUCUCCUUCUCCUUUCCUUUCCUUUUCUUUCUUCAUGACACGACCAAAGAGUUGAUGUCUUUUCCCAAGUGUAGGAGUGUCGAAGUAAUAAAUAACCCGGCAAGAUCGGGGUCGAACCACAGGGAGGUUAACUGUAUAAACUACAAAUAAAGAAAUAGAUAAUAACAUAAAAGGAGUUGAAGAGAGCUUUGAGAUGUGAUAUUGAUAUAAUGAUUAAACAAGGAUAAAAUAAUUGUCAAGGUUAGAGGAUCCACAAAUGGUAUUUCAAACAAUUAUAGUAUAAACUCUUUUUAUUACUCAACUGGAAACCACACACAAAGGAGGUUCCAAUUUGAUUAUAAAUUGUUAACAUGAUUACAUUAGUUAUCUUAUUCGAAUAAUGCUAAUACUUGUAAAUGUUGUUAGGUAUUCAUGAUUAUAACUUAUGUUAAUAACAAAUAAAAUUCUUUUCAUAACACAGGUGUCAGUUAUACCAUACGGUUGGGCUAUGAAAGUGUCAAGUAUUUGUUGUACCAAGGGUUAUACAACAUAAAUCUAGAUUAACCAUUUAACAAACAAAGUAUUAAAAGUGAACAAGAUAACAAAUACAAAACAUCUUAGUAUCAAACAUUAAAGUUCAUGUUGAGUUUAUACUAUACUUAUUCUUACACCAUUAGUGUAACCUUUUCACCUUGACAUAAUAAACUUAGCUAAACAUAAUGAAAGAGAGAAACAUAAAUAAACAAGAUAAGAACAUAAAUAAGAUAUAAGUUAACUAAGUAAAGGAAAGGAAAGGAAAUGAAAAGCAUAACAAGAGAUAAAUAUAAACAAAACUUAAGCAUUACAAAAAUAUAAAGAGAGAGAGCAAGAACAUGAUCUUGAUCUGAAAACCAAGAUGCCUAAAUGCAUGGCAAAUGCCUCCUUUUAUAGGCCAAAAUUUGGAACUAUUGAUUUGAUGACUAAUUGUUGAGUGGGUGGCCACAUCUUGACUUGGUGACAAUCCUUAUCUUCUUAUCUGAACAAAACAUCAUUGCUAACAUUAGAAUUUGAACAGAUAGUCUUCAUGAAAGUUCUAGGAAAUUGUCUCAGCUUUCCAAAAAAGAAAAGAAUUGAUGCAUUUGGACUUCUAAAACUCGAGAUAUGGGUUGAACACUGAAUAGUGUCUGGGCUGCAGGACAGAUUCCGACUUCUCCGUUGUUGCUACAAUUUGAACCUAAAGUCAUUUGAAUCUUAGACUCUUCAUGAAUGUUUUAGGCCUUGUCUUAGCUUUCCAUACAUAUAAACUAGACCUAAAUUCAAGUUCUACAGCUCCAGUUAUGAUCCAAUAACCGAAUGAUGUUCCAGUUUGGACUGAACCAGCAUCUCUUUUCUAAGCUUAGUCAUCUCUUUGUCUUCUCAAUUUUAAUAGUUAAACUCAUUAAUCAAUCUUUUCAUUUAUGUGAUAGGCCUGCAUUUAAGAUGAACAUUUAUUAUAAAUUAAAGGUAUCUUAUAUUAUCAAACAUGUUAUUAUAAAACAUGCUCUAGUUAAGGAGUUAUUGAUACUUCAAGUGCAAAAUGAUGAUAUAGAACCUUGAUAAAAAUACAUUUUUAAGUACUAAUCACACCCCCCCAACCAGCUUAUUACUAGUCCCUAGUAAUCAAAGCGUUAAAAUUGAAAAACAAUUUGCAAGUUCCACAAAGCAAGGCAUUCAUCAUUCAACUUCCAUUAAUCUAUCUAAAUAAACAAACUCUCAUUAAAUUUAUAUAUCUGCUUCAUACUUCUUAAACAAGAUAUUAAUAAACCUUCCUUUUGUGCUCAAUAAAUCAACACAUAGUUAUGGGGCUUUACUUGGAAGAAAACAAAAUUUUGUUCUAAUGUUUAAGGUUAACUUCCUUGGGUUGGGUUAUUAUCUUCUUCUUUUUUCUUUUUUUUUUAAUAUAUAUACAUAUACUUAAAACACAAUGCAUCUUUAACCAAUGUAAGGAGCUUUAGGCUAAUGACUCCCAGACCAGUUGGUCUUCGGGCAUUAGGUGUUGAGACACCCCUACAAGCUUAGUAACUCGGGUUUCAGAUACUGAUACGUAGAUAAUGCAAUGUUUGAUUCCCUUAAGCUUUUCUCCUUAACCCAUGUAACAAGCUUUGGGUCAAUAGCUCCCAAGUCAGUUGACUUUAGGGUAUUAGGUGUUAAAACACCCCUUCAGACUUAAUUGUUUAGGUUAGGGAGGCUACGAAACCAAACUUAUCUACGCUUUUAUUAUCAUCAAUAUUAUCAAUUUUUUUUUUUGCAAAUUAUAUACUAUCCCUUUCCCUUAGUUGUUACCUUUAACAAAAAAACAUAAAUAAUGUAAUAAUCAAAAGUGCAACCCACAAUCAUAUGUUAAAGUAUGUGUGUGAAAAUGAAGGUUUAAGAAUACUUGUUAAAUGAGUAUAUGAGCAGAAUCAAUUAAUAACAAUACGAGAGUUUGUAAACCUGAAUAUUUCAAGAGAAGUAUAUGAUAGACCUUGUUAUGAAUAUUGCAAAUAACCAAUGGAAAAUGUUUACUAAGAUGCGUCUCAAGAGUCAAUAAAAUUCUCCCUUACUCUGUCAUCCUAGUAAUAAUAGUUUUGUUAAAUGGUUUUAUUAAAAACAAAAGCAGUUAGUUGGUUAGUUAGUUUUUUUUUUAUCAACCACUACCCUCUCCCCCCAACCAAAACGAGACAUUGUCCUCAAUGUCAUAAGAUAGAAAGAUAGAGUAUAGAAGACAUCACCUGAAACAACAAACACUGACAAACCUGAAACAUACUUAAACAAAUAUAAGAAAUAACAAAACAAAAUAAUAUGCUAUUAAUAAAACCAAAAGACACAAGGUUUCACAAACGAAGGCUCAAAUCCAAUCUAAGCUUUUUACGGCUUUCCUUAGUUGACCAAUUUAUACGACUCAUGAAGGGAUCAAUUACAGGGAUGAAAGAUUGUAGUUGGUCAAUCAAUUGUUCAGCAGUAGUAACAGAGAUUAUGAUUUGUCAUGCCGAAGAUGUUAGAAAUUAUUGUUCCACAGCUUGAUCAAGAAAAGACAACAAAUUAUCAUAAAAACCAUUAACAUUUAAUAAACCUAUAGGUUUAUGGUGAAUGUGCAGUUGGGCCCAAGAGGAAAUAUGAAAGAUCUCUUCCAAUGUGCCCAGACCACCUGGUAAGGCAAUGAAGGCUUCAGCAUGGUUAAACAUUGUAUUCAUUCGAUCAGACAUUGUGGAAACCUAUAGUUCCUCUCCAAUUGUUUUUCCAAUGAUGUCCCCUUUUACUAAAGCUUUGGGUAUGACCCCCAAAACUUGACUACCUCCUAAAGAUGCAGUUAUUGACACACCCCCUCAUUAACCCAAGGCUGCCUCCCCCAUACACUAAAUGAAUUUUUUUCUCAGCUAGUACCUGACCAAGAUGAUUUGCUGAUUCUUUCCCAUGAUUGAAUCCACCGAAAACACAAAUAUUUCUUAUGUGAUGACUUGAGAGACCUGCAAUUUCUACACCCUUAGUUUUACGUCCAAGAACGACUUAAACGCCCUAUAUAGGUUGGGGAUAGGCUUCCCAUUCAGUUUUCUUAAAAACUGGCAAACAGGGUCUUUUAUAGUCAGAUUCCUAAGACUAUGCCGAGCAUGUUCUUUAUGAAAAUGGGGUCAUAAGUUAUGAAAUGCACAAUGCAUAUUGCCACUAGGAUAUGUCCCAAAAGUCAAUAGAAUAUUAUCUAAAGAUUCCUUAUGUUUUGAAAUAAAUCCUAACUUUUGACAAUUUUCACAAGCUUUACAGAACACAUGUAUGUCUUUGAACAUGGUGGGCCAAUAGAAUCCAUAUUGUAAGAUUUUUGCAGUAAUCUUUUUUUACGAGAAAUGACUCCCACAUGCCUUAGAAUGACAAAGUUUAAUGACACUACUUACCUCAUUGUCUGAAAUAGAUCUUCGAAAUAUUUGAUCAGGACAAUAUUUGAAUAAGUAAAGGUCAUCCCAAUAAAAGUUCUUCACUUCGUUCAAAAACUUUCCUUUGUCUUCGGUACUCUAUUGAGCUGACAAAUCUCAUGUUGCAAGGAAAUUGAUAUGAUUAGCAAACCAAGGCAUUGGACUAAGAGAAAGUAAGGAUUCGUCAGGAAAGUAAUCAUCGAUUGGUGUGAUGUCGGAUGUCGAAUCUAUUGUCAAUCUUGACAAAAGAUUCGUACCAACAUUUUCAGUGCCUUUCUUGUCCUCGAUUUCUUCUUGAGAAUAAAUCAUUUACAAAUCUGCAUAUUCGUCAAACUCUGUUUUACUCACGGUGGAUUCAAAUUGAUCAUAAACUAAUUUUUCAAUAACAUUUACUUCCUGUGAAUCAUUAUCAUCUCCAGGUUGCUUGUAAAUGUUGAAAAUAUUCAUCUCCAAUGUCAUGUUUCCAAAUGAUAACUUCAUCAGUCCAUUCCUACAAUUAAUCAAUGCAUUAGAAGUUGCAAGAAACGGACGUCCUAAAAUAAUAGGAAAUGAAUUACAUGCUUCAACAGGUUGUGUAUCUAAGACAAUAAAAUCCACAGGGUAAAUGAAUUUAUCAACUUGUACUAACACAUCUUCAACUAUUCCUCUAGGCACUUUUACAGAUCUAUCAGCAAGUAAAAGAGUUACAGAAGUUGAUUUUAACUCACCUAGAUUGAGACUUUAAAAAAAUAAAUAUGGAAGUAAAUUCACACUAGCUCCAAGAUCAAGUAAAGCUUUUUCAGUUUUAUGUUCUCCAAUAAAGCAUGAAAUUGUAGGACAACCAGGGUCUUUAUAUUUCAAAGAAUUAUUGUUUUGAAGAAUGACACUUACUUGUUCGGCUAAAAAGGCUUUCUUUUUCACAUUCAGUUUUCUCUUCACGGUGCACAAGUCUUUUAAAAAUUUAGUAUAAGAAGAUACUUGUUUAAUAGCAUCCAGCAAAGGUAUAUUGAUCCUUACCUGUUUGAAAGUUUCAAAGAUUUCAGAGUUGUGAUUGACUUUUCUUUGUUUGGUCAUGGCAUGAGGAAAUGGAAGUGAUGGCGGGGAAUCAGUCUUUUCUUUGCAAUAUUCAGAUUCAACCCCUUCCUUACCCUCAGAGAUUGACUCAUCAUCUUUCUCACAAGGUUCAAGAGUGGGUUUUUCAAUAACCUUACCACUGCGAAGAGUGAUGACUGACUUGACUUGCAUUUGCAUUGUAUUGCCUCUUGGGAUUUUGCUGUGGUUGAGAUGGAAACUUACCUUUCUCUUGAAAACUGAGAGCAGAUGUGAACAUUGCAAGAGUAUCUUUAAAAUCUGUCAUGCUUUGAGCAAGUUGAGUGUUGAUUGUCUCUUGCUUUUCAAUGAAUGCAUGCAAUGUUUCCUCAAGAUUUCUUCUAGGAGGUGAAGCAUAAGAAGGUGCAUAUCCAUGAGAAUUUUUGAAAUUAUGUUGUGCUUGAAACAAUGACUGUGAAGUUUGUGCAUCACUCUUCCAACUGAAAUUUGGGUGAUUUCUCCAACCAGGGUUAUACAUUUGUGAGUAUGGGUUAUGAUUAGGCCUUUGGAAACUGUUUAAAGUAUGGGCUUGUUCAUGGAGGCAUUCCCUAAAAGAAGGCAAAGUUGGACAAUCAUUUGUUGAGUGUUCAUUGGUUUCACAGAUUUGACAUAUAAUUUCUUGAACAUAUUUUAAUUGACCACUCCUUUUCAAUUUUAGUGCCUCGACUUUUCUAGCUAAAGAUGCAAAUUUGGCUUGGAGGUCAUGAUCUUCCCUAAGGUUGUACAUUCCUCCACUAGAUGUAUGAGGUUGAGUUUUACUUGGUGCCUCAUAAGUGUUUGUAGUGUCCCAAUUUUAAGCAUUUUCAGCUAGCAAGUCUAGGUACUCCAUUGCUUCAUUAUGGUCUUUAUUUUUAAAAGUUCCAUUGCAUAUCAAUUCCACCAUUUGUCUAUCUUUAGGUGUUAACCCUUCAUAAAAAUGUGAAACCAAUCUUCAUGUUUCAAAACCAUAAUGAAGGGAAGUAUUAAGCAAGUCUCGAUACCUAUCCUAACAUUGGUAAAAUGUUUCUCCUGGUUUUUGAGUGAAAGUGGUGAUUUGUCUUAAGAUAGGCCUGCAUUUAAGAUGAACAUUUAUCAUAAAUUAAAGGUAUCUUAUAUUAUCAGACAUGUUAUUAUAAAACAUGCUCUAGUUAAGGAGUUAUUAAUACUUCAAGUGCAAAAUGAUGAUAUAAAACCUUGAAAAAAAUGCACUUUUAAGUACUAAUCACUCUAUUUUAUAUCUUUUUGUUUCGUUCUUCUUUCUCUCCUCUUUUUCUCUGUUUCUCUCUCUUCCUUCGUCCUCUGCUCUUAACAACCAUCCCCCUGUCAAUUCUCUCAUCGGUCUCCCCCUGUUUUUACCUUCUUUGUUUCCUUCUCUCUAUAUCGUCCCCUCUGUUUCAAACCGUUCCUUUAACCUUCUCUCUAUGUCUUUCUCUCCCCUUCGUUCUCUCUCUCUUUGGUCCUCUUAAAAAAACUCUUCAAUGUCCUCUCAAAAGUCUCUUGCAAAUCGUCCCUCUUUUUCAUUCUCCCCACUCUGGUAUUUAUAAGGGGAAAAAAGGAGAAAGCCACCCAACCCUGUCCAGUCACGCUGAAUAGGUAGGUGCUAGGUGGCCACUAUACAGCCAUCCGCAGGACUUGUCUCCUAUGCUUUUCCAUCUCAGCAGGCCAAUAAGCAUGGUGGGUCUUAUCAGUUUUGGGUUUUUGGGAAAGAGAGGGAAAAAGGCGUUACAGGGGAGAAAAUCUUCUUCUUCCCCUGCCUGUGCGUGUCUAGGGGAAAGAGAUGUACAAUGUCGUUCAAAACAACACUGUUUCCCCUAUUUUUUUAAAAGUGGACAAAACAGUGUCAUUUUGAACAAAACGCGUUGUAUCAUUUAAAUGAAAAUGGCGUCAAAGAAGUCAAUUUCCAAAUCAGUCCUCAAUUUUUUAUUUAUUCAAUCAAGUCCUCAAUUGAGAUUUUGAUUUUAAGAAUCAAUUCAAUUGCAUCCCUGCCAAAUAGGAUGUCAGCCCUAAAGUUGACCACCUUUUUUAUUUUGGUCUUUGGUCUUGGAUUUAUGCAAUUUGACCCUCAAUUGAUCAAUAAACUUUUAUUUUCUUCAAUUUAGUCCCUGAUUGAGUCAAUUUCAGUUCCUCUAUUUACACGUCUUUUCCAACUUGGUCCUUGGUUUUGGAUUUCUUCAAUUAAGUCCCUAAUUGGCCAUAAAACUUCAAUAUUUACGCAAUUAAGCCCCUGAUUUUGAUCAAAUUAACUCUUAAAAAUUAUAAUUUGACCCCAAAACUUUAAUUUCUUCCAAUUAAAGCCUAAAUUGACUUCAAAAUCAAUUUUUCUUGCAAUCAAACCCUCCAUAAAUUCAAUUAAACUUCAAUAAAAUUUAAAUGAGUCCAUAAACAUUUGAUGUUGGACUUUUCUUCCUCAAAUUGAAUUUUCUUUGUCAACAGGGCUCUCAUUAGUCAAUAAAAUACUGCCCAAUUUCAAUCUUUGUAUUUUUGAACCUCCUCAACCAAUUUUUGACUAUUUUCUGAGCGUUUUGACAUCCUCUAUUCACUGUUAUAUUUUUUGAUAAUAUUUUUUAUUUUUUUGUAUUUUUUUUAAUAGAGAAAAAAAUGUGAAUUGAGGAAUAACCCAAAAAUGGGUUAUGACAAUUAAAAUAACAUUUCUAUGAUUUUUUGUGUCCAUUUUAAUCUCUAAUCUUAGGUACAUUUAUUUAUGGUACGUGAUAAGGUGACCUUAUAUGAAUUUCAAAAAAUCAGGAUGCUCUAGUCAAAACUUAAGGCUUUAUUAAGAAAGGUUGUUUCUUUUGAGCUCCUAUUUUAUCAGCAUGCAUAACCACCGGUGACUUAAUUCAUAAAGCUAUGACCCUUAUAGAAAAGCACUUCAAUUUUUUAGAGCACCAUUUAUCGAUUUAAAUUACUUACCUGAUUAAAAAAGGUUUUUAAAAGCAUGUAAUGCAUGCUAUGGUUCAUGUUUAUGAAAUAAAGGAAAUUUAUAGGCUCAAAAGGUGUUUGAGGGUUUCAAAGACCUAGGAUCAACAUCAAAUAUUCAUCAACUCUUUUUCUGUUGUUGUCUUUGUAAAGGAAAUGACAUAUAACCAUGUUAACCUCAACGAUCAAAAUUCUCUUAACAUAGAUCAUAAUACAAAUCCAACUUGUGAUUUGAUGAAUAACCAAUCUAAUCAUUUGAAGAUCCUAGAGGCUUUAUCAUAGACACCAAAAAACAUUUUUGUAGCUCAAUAUUUUUUUAUGGUGUUGAUUUUUAGCAUUUGUUGUGUCGCUAACUGUGACAUGAUGAAUUCUACCACCCAUUUCACUGCUUUGUCUAGAUGAUAAUGAAAGACAUUAUCAAGCACAUAUGAUUGAUCAUCAAUAUUUUAUGCCCCUCAGUCUAUGUCUCUCUUUUUUCUUUUAGCCCUUUCUUAAUCGUUGAACUUUUGUUUUUAACAUUCCCUUUACCAUUGAUUCUAUCCUUGUCUCCAUCUUUUCUAACAAAAUAUCUCAUUUGCCCCCAGUGUGGAGUGUGAUCCAUGUCUGAGUUUCUUUUUGAAAAAUAAUUCUACAAGGCUUAAAAUGGGAUUGCAAGGGAUAUAUAUUUCAAGAAAUGUGGAAAAGAGUGAACAAAAAUGAUAUUUUCUCAUUUCAAGCAAGGUCGGUUAUAACUGAUAAAUUGUGACAUCGUCUAGUGUAAUGAUUUGGACUUGUUCACAAGUCCAUAACAAGUAAAUCAACUACAUGUCAUUAUACAUACUGCUAAAACUUAGCUAAAUGAUGUAUGAUUUCAAAAUUUGCUUGGUCACCCUGUAUAUUUUAUCAUGCCAACAAGUCAUUUUUGCAAUCAAAACACUUUUAAUCUUUAAGGAUUGAUUGGGCUUGAUUUUGUCCAAAUAAAAUGUUAAACAUCUCCUAACUUCAAAACAAUAAAGAAACAAAAAAGAGACAUGUUUCAUUAAAUGAUAAGGUGUGAUCCCAAAGCAAAAUGCAAAAUGGCAAAACUUUAUAACAAAAUGAUUGACAAUUCAGUGCCUUUCUUGGAUAAGCUUUUCUGGCAAUAUCUGUGUUUUGCCAAAUAUUUUUGAUCACUUGUCAUGCUGAGACGUCCUAGUGAAAAUAUGGAAAAUGACAUCAUCUUUCACAAACUCAAUUCGCCUCUUGCUCCCCAACUUCAAGAGUGGUAUCUUGAAAUUUUUGUAACUAUUCAAUUGAAUGGCUCAGGACCCCACCAUGAUAUUCACACCUCUUGUCUGGAUUAUACUACCUAGGAAACAGUGGUUGCAUGAGAUUUCAUGAAGUCGAGGCAAUAAGUCCGAAAUCUAACAGAUUCUGGUAGAUGAACUUGAGUGGCAAAGAGAUGUCAAUCUUAACAAAGGCACUUGAGCAAUUGAUGCUAAAACGAGACCUGGAUGAAUUAUAUAACUAAGGUUUCCUACUUAAGAGCCAUCUUUCUAUCAUUGUUCUAGAAUCCCCGGUAGGACCUUUAAUAUUUCUCAUCUUGCUAGUUUUUUCAAUUCUUUCAGCAAUAAUCACAACCUCCUGUCAAUCUUUUAAGGUGGUUGUGGUUGUUUGAGGAUUGUUGUAAACUUUCCAAGGUUGUUAGGUAAUCCUGGCAAUGCAUGAAACCAUGCAGCACCGCCACUACCGACGUGUGGAAUCACGCGUUGUCUCUACUAUAGGAGAACCUGAUGAAUCUGAAACUCUUUUAUCUCCUCUUCGAUUCCUCACUAAUGGUGCAACAAACAGACACCUAUAGAGGGAGUUCUGCUAUGUUGCAGUUUCAAUCUUCUUCUGGUUUUUCAGUUCAAGUCUGUCUCUUCUCCUUACGUCUGCGUUUUAAGAUUGACACUAGUGGGAGAAAAUUAUAGAUGAUAUGAAACUACUACAUUCCUUAUUGGAUUCCCCAGUAGUAGAGCCACCAACAGAUCUCUGUACAGGGAGCUCUACUCUGUUGAAGUUCAAUGUCUACUCUAGUUUUUUCAAACCCAUAUGCUGGUUGCUGGACUGGAAUGGAGUUCAAGAUGGGAAUGGCUGGAAAGAAGGCCUCGACUUAUGGCGUGGAAGGUUCACAGCUGUUGGAAGCUACUGGAAAGAGAUGUAGACGUUGUGAACAACUAUUGGAUAGCUGAACAAGAAAGGAGGUUGUCUUUCAUUGAUGACUGAAGGCAUUGUUGUUGUUGUUCAUGACUGAAAUGAAGGAGAGAAGGUGCAGUUUCGAUGUCGUGACCCUCGCUAGUGGAGUGUUGAGGAGAAGAGUUAAUUAUUUUUCCUUGUGUGGGACGCAGACUGACAGUGUUUCCAUAGGAGGCUGUGCAAACAAUCCCUUUCCAUUAUUGAAGCUCAACACUUGUUCAAGUAGAUUUAUGACUCUAGCUACUUCACCUUUGAUGCUUUCAAUUUUCUUUUGAUAAUGAGCCUCUAUUUGACCCCUUUCUUCAUUUUCCAUCUUUUCUCAGUCUAGUGCAGUAAACCUCAGGUGGUGGAACUUAUGUUUCAACCUUGGGGCAUGCAUGAUAAAUGCAUGAGCAUAUUCUUAUAUGAUGAACUUGUCAUUCAAGGGGUGAUACAUGGUCAUAACUCUUAUAUGAUGAGACAAGAAUUUUGAUUCUUGCUCAAACUCUGCAACAAAAAUUCCCUGAGAGAUGGCCAUUGUAUCACCCAUAAGUCCUGAAUUCAAGAUGCUUCAAGAAGGGCUUGCUUUGAUACCAAACAAUGUGUAGGGAGUAUACAUCCUAAAGGCAGGAUCUAAUUGUUUUACGUGAGACAAGGGGUAGGUUUACUACUUGAUCUGUAAUAAGGGGUAGGUUUACUAAUUGGUCUCUAAUAAGGGGUCUCUCGUUGUCCAGUGAUCAUCCUUGAAAGGUCGAGAUGAGGCUUACAAGUAGUGUGAAGAUAAAGGCCCUGGAUAAUAUCAUAUUGGCAUAUCAACUACUAUCGAGUAAAUAAUCAAGCAAGAACUGGAUGGUUUCACGAGUCUUAGAUUGGAUAAAGUCAUUGGAAUACCGUUAUUUCCCCAUUUAACUUAAUGUUGAUACAACAAAUAUUUAAAAUGAAAUGAGUGAUGUCUGAAGAUAAAAAUCCAUAUCCAAUAUGUGCAUGAUGUCAUAAAUAAAUAUACAUGCUAAAGUUGUAGAAAUAAAAUAAAAAUUCAUAACCAAAUAAACACAACUCGGCAAACAUUUUUAGCAAUUAACAUACAAAAGGCAAAGCUUAGUCCUAGAGUUCUCCUACGGAGUCAUCAUUCUGUCGCAUCCGACAUUGCGAUGAACUUUAAAAAUUCAAAAUUUGGCUAAGAAAAAACAUAUUUUCUAGCACUACAACACACAGACGCAGAAGAAAAGUCUUAUUUAUUAAAGAACUAACAUGGCUAUUAAAUAGCCUUUCAUCAAGACAGAAGGGAAAUAACAACCCACGAUUUUACAGUCCUACAAUCGUGGUAUAUAACUGAAACAAAACAGAGAAUCAUUUGUCCCUUAAGACGAGGGAUUAUUAUGCAUGACUUCAAAACACUCACAUCAUAAAAACAAUGAAACCCAAACAAUAUUAAUCUAGAGGAUCUUAACAUCUUUAACACUCUCUCUGUUUUUGUUUUCUUUUUCAUUUCUCGUUCUCUCUGUUCUUUUCUGGCUUUAGUUCCUCUGUUUCUGCUUCUUUUCUUUCAUUUUUUUCCUCUCAAGUUCGUUCCUGUCUAUGCUCGUCUCCGUCUUCUAUGUUUUUCUAUUCGUCUUUGUUGUUUCCUCCUUUGUCUUCUGUGUUUUUUGUCCCCCCUAUGUUUUUCUGUUCGUCCUCUGGUUCUCUCUGUUUGCUCUCAGUCCCCCGGUCUACCUCUGUUUGCCUUAGUAAUAUAUAUGUAGUAGCAUGAGGAGGAGUGUUGGUGUAAGGCUAGUAAUAUGUUUAUUUAGUUUUCCUGUAAAUAUAGGUAUCAAUGUAAAUAGAGCAUCUACACACACUAAUCAAGGAAAUAACUCAUCGUACAAUAUUUUUACCCUAAAAUUACUUGGUAACUGAAAAUGUACAAAUGAAUCAGCUAAUAUGUAUAUUGAUGGUAUCCAUAUAAUAUAUUCUUUCUUGCUUACAGAUAAAAUACCACGAAAUUGUGAAAAAUGAAGAAUGAACACACUAUCUUGAAAAUUUCUAAAACCAUCUAAAACCAUCUUUCAAGGUCUAUAUGAAGCAAUAACCUCAUAGUUCUCUCACUAACACAUCUAUCUUACUGUAUAUGGUAAGCACGAACAUACAAAGAUCCUGAACGUUAACUUAAACUACAUCAUCAUCAUAAUCAUCAUCAUCAUCAUCAUCAUCAUCAUCAUCAUCAAUCAAUCCUUCCCUAACAUCUCCAGUAAUGCCCCUUUGUCCCCCCUUACAAGGACCAUAAGCCUUGCUACAAGCAAGAUAAUAAAUGAAGUUAGCAAAGCCCAAACUAUAAAGCAGCCAGUAAUAGUAAUCAUAAUGUCCUUUGUUGAUGUUGCUUGAAACCCAACUCUCUUGAUUUGCUUCACCAAUAAACCCACAAACAUUACUUACUAUAAAACUGGCCACCAAGCUUGCAGCAGACAGUCCAAUACUAAAAAGAUUCGAGGCCACGCUAGACAUGCUUUUAGGCAAUUCAGUGUAGAAGAACUCAUUCAGUCCAACACCAUUCAUAGCCUCAGAAAAUCCAAGUAAGAAAUAGAAUGGCAAUAACCACAUUGCAGACAUGUGCGUAACCGCGUCAGGAAUAUCUGAAAUUCCUUCCCUGAUUGCAAUUUCUCGUCGCACCCUCUCUAUAAUUGCCAGUACUGCCAUGGAAGCAGCCGAGACCAGAAUCCCAAUUCCUAUUUUCUGUUUCAAGCCGAGACGUGUUGGUUUUCCCCUGACCUUUGAUGCUAGAGGGAUGAUUACGCGAUCGUAGACAGCAAUCCACAUUGUUGCAGAGAGCAACAGAAAUGCAUAGAAUGAUCCAGCAGGAAUUUCAAAUUUCGAAGUGAUAUGUCGGUUCAUAGUGGAUGCCUGGAGUAAUAGGAAAGAGUUUUGACAGACAUUUACAGACACCAACAUCCCUGUCGACCAUAUUGGGAUUACCUUUAUUAGUGCUUUUAGCUCUUCUACUUGAUCUACUGUACAAAGAGUCCAUGGAUCUGAAGCUCUUCCAUCUGGCAUCAAGUCUUCUUCAGGAUUCUUAAUAACACAAGCUUUGUUUAGAAACCUAAGACAAGAUAAGACAAAAGGAAAUCCUUAUAGGAACUAUCAUAUAUGAAAUUAAUUACUCUUUGUAAGACAAGGUAGGUUAAUUACCUUAUUCUUUCACUUGGCACGACAAGCGCGGAUCCCUUCCUAUGAUGAUACAGCUCAUCCGUGUCUGGCCAUGAUAAUUCAAUCCUUCUCUUUCUAUAGGAGGCCACGAGAACUCGAGCAAAUCCGAUGAGCCAGCUUGCCUUAACCUUUGGCUUGACAUAAAUGGGAGAAGCCAAGAAGAACGAAAGAGUUGACAGGAUCAUGAGAACCACAGGAACUCCGAAACCCACCUUCCAGCCCAUGGUGUCUUGAAUGUAAACUAUACAAGUCAUGGAAAUAAAUACAGAAGCUGAGGAUGUAACAUAGUACCAACUGAAGAAGCUCUCUAAUAUUCCAGCAUGUUUAAGGCUGUCCCUCUUGCUCAAUUGAUCAGCACCAAAGGCCAGGGAGCAUGAUCUUAUGCCUCCAGCACCGAUAGACAUAAGGCCUAAGCAAAAAUAUAGAAACAAAAGCUGUGGUGUCGUCGCGUCG
RNAcentral lists this long non-coding RNA (44295 nucleotides) under Populus trichocarpa (black cottonwood). RNAcentral describes it as "long non-coding RNA (PTRI_LNC003968)". The stretch from base 31748 to 31897 matches the Rfam family "MIR2912 microRNA precursor family". Lineage: Eukaryota; Viridiplantae; Streptophyta; Magnoliopsida; Malpighiales; Salicaceae. The record is from RNAcentral.